This 51703-nucleotide long non-coding RNA is filed under the name Populus tremula. RNAcentral describes it as "long non-coding RNA (PTRE_LNC000760)". Lineage: Eukaryota; Viridiplantae; Streptophyta; Magnoliopsida; Malpighiales; Salicaceae. The record is from RNAcentral.
UUCGGAUAGAGAGGACCAGUUGCAAAGACCCUAACCAAAAUCAUACAAACAGAAAUGGCAGACAAUUCAGAUUAGUUCCACAGAAAAAAAGUAGGGCUUUAAAACAUAACCUAUGCACACAUUCAUUGAGCCAAAACCUGCAUUUAUGCUAUAACUGUCAUCAAAUGUGGCCUUCGCCAUUCAGGUCCAACCAAUUAUCAUCUGGGGCGAUGCUUUUCAUAUCCAAGCCAAAGCAGAAAUUUGUAAAAAUGAAUAAUUAUAGAAAAGUAAAAGUUUUAAAGCUUGGCAUUCUAGGAAAAAGUUAAAAUUUUAUCCAUUGCAGAGCAAAUAAAAAUAAAAUCUUUUAUGCCAAGGGAUGUUAGUUGUGCCUAAAGCACAAACUACAAAUAUCAACUCUUAAGAAUCUAACUCAAUUCAAAAGAAUUGAAUAAUGCCACAGAAUAAAAUCUUUUUGCUAGUUGGAGUCAAAAUACCUUCACAUCCUUUAUCAAAUUGAAGGAAGCAAGAUUGAGCACAGGUACGAGCAGAAGCAACAAAUCCUUCUCCUCCGUUCAGUAACUGUUCCAGACUGGUUUUAAAGCUUUCCAGUGUGUUGGAAUACAAAUAUUCCAACAUGGUAUCAUAAGCAUUGCGUACCACCUACAUUUUUAAAAAAUAUAAGAGUUUUGUAUUAAGGAACUAAAAGACAGUAUAAAGUUAUGAAUAUGGAGAAUAUGAUAUUCACAAAGAAGAGACAGAGGAAAAAUAAAAAAAGGGUUGCAAAAGAAACAAAUACCAAGUUCACAACUAGAGCCAUAUAUCCAACAUCAAAAGAGAAGCUUUAAUUCAGUUUCGUAAUGGGAAAAGAUUGGUUGAAAAAUCAAAAAAGAAAAAUAUACACACUCGAGCCUUACCUCCAACGCUUGUGACUCCAUUUGCCGCCGUUUUGCAUUCCGUACAUGUUGGUCAAAAUGAAUCACCUCCAUGUCAUAUCUAUUAAGAAAAUACAAGCAAUUGAGAGAUUCUGCAUCAUGUUGAACAAGAAGCAUACUCCAAGACUUUAGGCACACAAUGCUGACAAUUGGUUAGGAAUUUUAAGCAAUCAAAGGCUAUGAGCACCCGAGUUUAACAAUUGAGGAAAUCAAGUUGGAUACCACAAUGAUAUUGAACAAGGUACCACAUCAUUGUGGAGAAUUGACACCAGUUACUUACUGUGAAAGAUAGGUUUCCAAUAUAGAAUCGAGGGUGGCUCCAAACCCAGAUACUGGACCAUCUUGAACAUCCUCCUUCAAUGCCAACCAAUCCUGUAAGGAAUCAAUUUAGUCCUGUCUGAUAUUCACUAGUAGAAGUAACAUUCAAAGACGGAAAGAGAAAAGAAAAGGAAAAGUUAGAUUCAAUUAAGUACAUCAUCAGUAGUAAAUUGUCUGAGCUUCUCCUCGGCAAUCUCUUCACAUCGAACAGUAGCGACCAUCACCUGAAAACCAAAAUGGAGAAAUAUAUUCACAUGAAACCCUGACUAUAUAUAUUCACACAUGAAAAAGGCUCUUAUAAACCUUAAGAGCAGGGAGAUCUAGAUCCUUGUUAUCUUUUAUGGUUUUCCAUAUCUUCUCUGCACGGAUAAAAAAUCCCGAAGAAGGUUCAGCUUCCCUCUGAUCAGUAAGACCCCCUGGAGAAAUGAACCGCUGCCUUAGACGAGCAACCUGUAAAAAACAUCAUAUUAGGCUACAAGCAUGCAAUUCCAGUUUGUAAGAGUCAAUGAUGUCAAUAAAAUGCAGUUAAGCAUUAUAGAUUAUUGAGUGUGUGUGUGUGUAUAUAUAUAUAUCCAACUUAUUUCCUAAACAAACAGGAUUUACAUGACUAAAAUUGGAGAUAAUACGGCCAUGUCACAAACUUGUUAGAUUCAACAUUAUCACAUGACCUGAUGGUCAUUGUGUCAUCAUCAUGUUAUACACUCCCAAUGUUUAUAUAUCACUCUCUAUGUUACAUGUACUGGGAAAACACCAGUCAAAGCAUGAUUAAGUGUAAUAUAUAAGCACAAGUGAUUUAGUAUCAUGUCUAAACUAAUUAUUGAUUGAUUAUAGAGUUUACGGUUAAUUUUUAAAUUAACAAGUAAAUUAAAGAGACGGACUCGUGGACUUGAAGCAGGUCUUCACUUCCAGCUAAACCUGUUCUACAGAGCUUGAAUCAUGCAUCUUUUUGGACAGUGUCCGAACACUUGCCAAGUGUCUCCCUUGUCAAUAAAAACACAACUAACAUCCCUCUCUAAUUGAUUUUUCUCACAUUUUUUCUACACAAUCAAUCUCUCUUAAACUUCAUAGUUUUCUUUCUAAAUAAAUUACAUAUCAAUUUCUUUUUCUAAAUCUUUUACAUGCCGCUUCCAUCAUUCCUUUUGGGGAAGAUUCACCUAUCUCAUGGAAGGAUGUCACAUCCUGCUCUACUUGCAACACAUACCCCCCAUUAUAGCAAACACCAUGGAUUUUGACUUUCAAUUCAUUUGCUGAAUAUACACAAAGCUAGAAAUUGUUCAGAACCUUAAUUCGAGAAAAAAAUGACAAAGAAAACUCUAGAAAAACAGAAAUGUUGAACUUUAGUUAAUUUUGAUAAUUUAUAAGUUGCUAUUCUUAGUGCAUGGAGUAUAAUUACGGUUGCUUUUCAAAGUGAUUUUCAUUCUAAAAUACAUUAAAAUAAUAUAUUUUUUUAUUUUUUAAAAAUUAUUUUUAAAAUCAACGCAUCAAAACAAUCUAUAACAUAUAUAAAAAAAUUAAUUUUUAACAAAAAAAAUUUAAACAUUUUAAAAACACGAGUUGACCUGCCUUUCCAAACGCUCACUGGUAUAUAGCUACCUGCUCUUUGAAAUUCUCCUCUUCAAAUUCAUAGCUAGACAAAGCAGCGAUCUCCACCUUCAUGUCAAUUAGUAGAAGUGAAUUAAGUUAUAUUCCAAUUAAACAAAAUAUUGCAUAUGAAGCAUACAUGUCAAUGGCAUGAAUAAGGGACAUGGAGAUGGAGAUGAUAACUUACGCACAUUAAAAAAAUCACUGAGAACAACACUCCUGGAAGUCUCAGGUUCAGCAACAGAAUCCCAUAUCUGUAGAGAUUGUGACUUAAUGCUGGAAGAAACAAACAAUUGACCCAAAAAGAUAGGGGCAUAAAUUGAAUAUAAGUAAUACGCACAGAAGUACCUCAUCUAUAUCUUCUUUGAGAGCAGUCUCCAAAUAUUCAAAUGGAGUCUCCAUAGACAAUAAAAAAAAGGGGUGUAGAUUCAGUAUUGGACCAAAUGAUGCAUUAAAAGAAUGGAACACAGGGUGAUUCGUUUCUUCUUUGAAGAACAUAAAUUCCAUACCUUUGAGUGAUCACGUAUAACAAAUAGCAAUGUUCUUUUACGGGGCUUGAAUAAACGCUUCAUCACCUGAAUGCAAGACAUAUAAUAGAUUAUCACACAUAACAUAUAAACCUAAGACAAGGAAUGCUCACCAUAGCCAAACGGCUAGAGUGUUGGCUCUGCUACCAAAUUAUGUUAGGUGCAAUACAUCACACACAAGGCUUAGUGAACGCAGCAGAACAAACUCUCAGUAAAUACAGCUAAACACAGAGGGCUCAGUUAAGGAGAAAUAGGCAUAUACACUAGAUAUGGAAGAGGCUGUCAUUAUUUAUGCAUAUUUGACUGCAUAUUCUCUAUAUAAUCUAAAUCGGUUAUUAGCUUCUUCUAGUGGUAAGUUCGUACAGCUUAAAAACUGUUUAGGGGUAAAUGCAGAAUGCUUUUCAACAUGACGCACCUGGAAAACUGUUUUCAAAAGAGGUCUGCUGGCUGCAUGUUCCAGACCGAUGUCUUUGUACCACCUGUAUAUUAGAUUAACAUAGUGAUAAACAUGGGUUGAAUCUUACUAGUAGAACGGCGAGGGCGCAUGAAAGGGCACGUCUUGCCUUGAAAAAAAUAGCUAGCUGUAAAUUCUAGCCUGACAAUUUAGAAAGUGUCUUAAUUGUACGUGUAAUAUAUCCAAAAUGAAGAACAAAAAUUAUCCACAAGUUCAAAAUAUGGAAAAAAGCAAUCUUGUUUGUCCUUCUUGACUGGACAGCUGAUAAGUUGAAAUAUAAGCGUCAUCUUCAUCUGAUUAGCGCCAUGUGGAAAUCAAAGAAGAAACAGAAAGUUGUUUAAGAGACCAUAACCCUGCUGGAUAAUUUCUUCAAAUCAUACAAAUAAACAAUUAGCCAAAUGGCUAAAGAAAUUAUUUCAAGCCAUAAAAAGACUUUGGGACUGCGAUAUGAACCUGCAAAUCAUGGAAGACUACAACAAGAGGUUUUUUUGGCCAAACCUAGACAUAGGGCCAUGCCAGUAGAAGAAUGACUACUAAAAAACGCUAAUAACAUACAAUGGUUAACAAGGACAAUGACUGUCACGGCCACCCCUGACUAUUCCAGUCCCGAGUGCGAACAAGUACCAAACAUGUCUAGCAGAAAAGGAAUCUAAAUAUUGUAAUGCUGAGCAUACCAAACUCACAUGUUAAUCAAUAUAAUGUCAGCAAUUGCCAAAGCAAACAAGGCACUUUGUCUCUCGAACGCAGUGUUGUCCUGAAACAGCACACAUCCCAGAUUACAAGUAGUACCAAGAUUUUUGCAUAGUAUUAGCCUUCUAUAAGCAUGCAGUCACAGCUUCAAACCGUAAAGUAGUGACCAUUCAGUAAUGUCUGGGCUCAGCAUUCGAUAAGAAAUACAAAACUUUUGAGAUUGGAACCGGUUUCGAGUAUCACAGGAAUUGAAAAAAAUAAAAUGCAACAAUCAAACUAUUCCCAAUAUAUAUAAGAAAAAUCAUAAUCAAUACAACAUAAAGCACUCAUAAAUUCCUAUAGAUCCUCCCGUUAGUGUUGCACUCAUGAUUUGAGAUGGUGAGAAGUUAAACUACAGAGUCAUUUAAAAGGCAAAACAUGGGCUGGGCCCCAUCUGUUAACUUUAACAUUAAUACUGUAGAUUACUCGAAGUUUUACGACAUGGCAGAUGAAAUUAAAAGUUGAGUGAUGGAUAGAUCUGUUGAUUUAUUAGAAACAAAAUACCAUAUCAAACACAACAUGUAACAAGCCACUACUGGCAGAACAAAGCUAAAAUAAGAGCACCAAUAAAAAGCACUAAGUACCUCGCCUCUCGCUUUGCUGUCGGUUCCCUCGAAAUCCAUGGCAAUUGUGAAAGGCUUCAUAUCAUUACACUUGGCAAUCCAAAUGCCCUUGGUUGUUUGACCUCUGAAACAUGUAUAAGCAGACUGUCUUCCUCUUUCGUUUAUACAAAGAACUACAAAAACACAAAUUCUCCCUUCUAAAACUGUAAAAUUGAAAAAACCAAAAAUAUCAAACCUUCGUUUGUAUGCAUCCAGCAUCUUGAAAUUGGUACCGAAGACAUGAUUCAUCAGGGUGCUCUUCCCUGUUAACAAAGAAUGCGAAUUAAACUAUACAUGCGUGUGAUCAAACUCCAGGCUCUAACUGUGAUUGCUGUCAAUAUCAAAUGUACCCUUGAAAGCAAAAUUCAAGGGACACACGCUUGAUGUCAUUCGCGCAUCAACAGACCCAAAACCCAUAAUUUCGCAAACAGAACAGAACUAAACUCAAAGCCCAACAAGUUCAAUUUUGCAAAAAAAAAAAAAAAAGCAGCCACAAUCUGGGUUAUGAAGUUUCAGAGAGACCAUUUCUAAUCAACUUCACAUAAAGAAAAAGUACAUGGUAUAAUCUGAUCAACUUCACAUGAACAGAAACAAAGGGUCACCAGUCACUAAGAAGUAUGAACUGAGAAGAACAGAAACAUACCGCUGCUUUGUUGGCCAAUGAUGGCGACAAUAGCAUAGGAGAGACCGCACUGGGCAAACCCAGUGGCUGUCAUGAAGUCUUUGAGCCCUUCCACGUUGAACUUUCCAUUUCCAUCAAUCAGCUGCAUGCCUUCCUCCAUUUUCAUCACCGAUCAAACCCAAAAAACAGCAACUUCUUUUGAAGUCUUCUUUCCCAGGGUUAUGCUUUUUCUUCGGACUGCUUACAAACAGCACCAGAAAAGAAAUGGGUAUCUAAUACCAUAAUAAAGUCAAUUGACUUUAUUAUGGCUGGAAUCUAAUGCCAUUAUCAUGUGAUAAUGGCAUUAGAUUCCUUCGGUUGGAAGCUCUUUUGCUUUUGAGCUCUGAAAUACGAAAAGAGAACGGGAGUUACAAUUCCUCGUUCAAGUUAGUGUUUUUGUUUUUGGGUUUUGAACGAUUAUUUUUCCUUUUGAAGUCAAAGACUAUUGUUUUUCUUGUAGCAUUUCUUUUCUUUGCUUGUAUUCUCAAGAAAUAUUUUUCAUGACAGGUUAACGUCAUGGAACUCGUAAGUCGUUACUUCGAAGAAUGUAAUAAUUUCUGCUUGUCUUGCCACCUGAAAGUGCUUGGCAAUGUAUUUACUGCAAACACAUCAUCUCAAUGAUAGUGUAAUGGCUCGUGUACCGUUGGACAAUUUAGACUGCUCUCUAUACAGAUGUCCUCCUUCUUUCUAGGUUGGCUACCAUGUUGUUGUAAAACCGUACUAUGGCUUCACAAUCGGUUCGGAUAGUGAUCUCUUCACGUCCGAGGAUAAAUAGCUCGAAUUUCUCUAGAGCUCUAUUUAUCGCCGACAUCUUUGUAUAUAGCUACGCUUUCUUUCCUUGUAGGAUUCCACUGAUCCGUAUUGUUGAGGGGUAUAGAUGUUCUUACACCAUUUAUUACCCGGGGUCAUUACCUGUCAUAAGGUUACUAAUCAUAUUGACAAAAUUAUGGGGGUUAGGGCCUGGAACUUAGUGGGAAAUACUUGCUUGUAAUUUUCCCAAGUAAGUUUAGCUGUUUCUGGGCCUCCAAGUAUUUAUACAUAUCUUGGGCCGUAUGAUUAAAUCCUCUGGAUAUAUAAUCAUUGAGAACUUUACUCUUCCAGUUCUCUAGGACACUGUCCCAAUUUUGAGGAUCUUGAGAUCCGACCUUCAACAAAGUGGGGCUGUCUAAACCAACCUCUAUUGGUCGACGCAUCCCUAUACUCUUAGUUUCAAGUCAUCUGUCCAUGUAGUGUCAUGGAUGACUAUAAGUGCGUGAGCACCAUGCCCUUUUCGGGUCAUACCUUUGAGACCAACUGCUAUUAAUCCUAAGUGUGUAAACACUUCUUUCCGGUUUAACAACUGCCUUACUGUUUCACCGUGGAUUAAGUCAAAGGUUUUGACUUGGCCGUCUGGGCAAGAUAAAGAGAACUCUCUUUGCUUAUUCAGAAAACUUGUCUGAUUACUAAAUGUAUACAAAGUUUUAGGGGGGACGAGUGUAAACAUUCCUUGCUUAAACGGAUCCCAAUCAGAACUACUUGAUCUAUGGCAAUAUCUUGCUGUGAAUCUGAUUUUGAGAACAUCUUCUCAAAGAGGUUUUUAGGUUUUCUAACCUUCCUCUCGUAUUCACUGCCAGUUGCUUUCUCGGAAAUGGUCCUGCCUAGUGCACUUACUGUUGGCAUAUUGAAUAAACUCUUGAACUUCUGUUCGUUCUGAGUUUCUACAGGAUUAUAACUUGUUCCUGGUUUCAUCUUAAUCUCUUAUAAUGGAUUUCUUUCCAAAAAUAGGAUUAGAUGAAGAAGGAUUAUAUUGGAUAAAUCUCUUAUUUUCCAAUAAUUCUCCUUUUAGCCCUUUUUGGAUCUGAACUUUUAUCGUUGUUACGAUAUUUUGUUCAAUCAUGUUAUUCUGCGCAUAUAUCAGACAUAACAUAUAUAGGAUCAUGUUCAAUUGUGAUACUAUCACUUGAAUUUCUUGGGAACUCCCAACGGCAUUUUGUAUGAUCCCUGAAGUAUUUUUUACUUCAUGCCAUUUAUCUAACCUUUCUUGGCUAGAUUUGUAGAAAUCUAUUGCGUCAGAACUGUCUAGUUUUGACCAGAUAUCUUCUGCUUUUAAGGCAAUGAUUUCUUUUUGAUCAGAUCCUCUGAUCAUGGUACUGGCUAGUUUAUCUAAUAGCUUUCCCAUAGCUUUCUUAGCUAUCAUAUUCUGAAGAGUGGUAAAAUCCAUCAGUCCUUUUCUAGAACUUGGUUUUUACCGAAUAUGACACAUUCUCUUCUUGGAGAGAAUUGCGAGAACACAUUACUAGUGCCUGUAGGUGGGUUUUUAAGAAUCUAUUUUAACCCUUCUACCUUUCUUAAAGAAGAAGAAGAAGAGGAAGAACACAUCCUGAGAUUUGCACGAGUACAAAAUGCAAGUGGUCACCUAAGAAGAGAAGGUGGAGGAACACAUCCUGAGAAUGUUGACCUUCAUUGAUUCUAGUGAUAGAGGGGAUACAAGAUUUUAUAUCGUCCAUGAGAGAAUAAAACUAAUUCGGGGCUCUUUUGGGAGUUUGAUAACUCAUGCUUAUCAGUUAGAUAUGAAGUUUUUUCUUCAGGUGGUUUAAACUAUCUCUGCAGUCAUAUUACUUGCCCAUUGAGUGCCGCUAGUUUCCAUUACAGGAGCAUGCCGAGGAGAAGUAUAAAAUUUCACAAUUCAUCAAAAAGAAAUACAAGAGCAUGCCGAGCAUCCUGUAUCUAAGAAAUUUAAUCAGACCAUCGAGAAAAAUGAAAUAUUGACAGUUUAACACACAGUCAAAUGUGUUGAAGGUAAAAAUACUUGAUAACAAUAGCAUCCAGAGUGUACCUCGAAGUUAUAAUUAAGAAAAGAAUAUAAUGAUAAAACAAUUGAAAGAGGAGUUGCUUUAGAAUAUUAUGAAGUACGGAAAGAAUCCUUUAGUUUUAUGCAUAUAAGAUAACGGUAUUGGAUUUUUAAAAAAGCAAAUAAAAAAUAAUAUGUUCAGUGUUUGGAGUCUAAGAGUGUGUUUGGUAUUGCGGUAGCUUUUGUGGUUGUGAUUUGAAAAAAGUUGUUUUAUAAAAAGUACUUUUAGUUGAGAUUGGUUUGAAAAAAUAGGUGUUUGGUUAAAACUGUGGUUGAAAUUGAGGUUGAAGAAAAAGUUGUUUAAUGUGUUUGGUUAAAAAACUGCUUUUCAAAUUGAGGUUAUAAAAUAAUUAAAAAAUAUAUAUAUAUAUAUUAAUACUAAUGAUUUUUAAUUUAAAUAUUAUAAAUUUAAUUACUGUUAUUACAUCAUAAAAUAAAUAAUAUUGAUAUCAAAUUUUUUUUAUUAUUCCAUUAAACUAUGUGCAAUGUCAUCACAUACAAAAUAUAUCCAAUAAGAACUAUAUUUUUCAUGGUUUCUUAAGCGCGCAACAACAAAAACUGAAUCUUUUGUUACGUUAUCAAGCGAUUUCCUUCUAAUUUUUUAAAUAGAACACAAUUAAAAUAAAAAUAAAAACUGAAUUUUUUUUUACUGAGCCGGACCCGACAAUAACGUAAUUGCGAUCAAAUUUCACAAAUGCUACGUCAUUACGCGAUAUCCUUCUAAUUUAUAUAGUGUUAUUAAAUAAUAUUAAGUGCUAGUUUUUCAGGAAUAAAAUUGAGAUUAAAGUAUGAAUAAAUUUAAUUUACCUUAAACUAAUUUUUUAAAUAUAUAUAUAUAUAUAUAUAUAUAUAUAUAUAUAUUCACGUGAACAAUAUGAGUGCAAUUAAUUAAAUAUACUAGUUUUUCAGAAAAAUAAUAAUUUGUUUACUAGUUUUUCAAAAAAAAAUAAUAAUAAUUGUUCAUGUGAACAGUGCGAGUGAAUUAAAAUUCACUCGCACUGUUCACUUAGUGAAUAGUGUGCAGUGGAGCAUGACUUCACUGUUCAUUGAACACCGGAGCCAUGCUCCACUGUUAACAACGGGUCAGCAGCAUGAGAAGUAACAUUUUGCUGCUUCUCAAAACCUACGGUGCAGCCUCAAAUAUCAGUAGACCCUACCAACAAAACAUCCUGCUUUUUCUUUAACUAAACACUAGGUAGUGUGGUUGCGGGUGAACCUCACCCGCAACCACACUACCAAACACCCACUAAAUACCUUCACAUCCUUGAUCAAACUUGACCAUGCAAGUUUUAAGACUUUUAACUGUGUUCGAAUACAAAUGCAUCAGCAUGGUAUCAUAGGCAUCGCGUACCUCCUGCAUAAUAUAUUGGUACAUUUGAGUUGAUCAGUAUAAGAAAUUAACAUAUAAAUACAAAAACACCCGCUCCAAAAAAAUAAAAAAAGCAAGUCAAAUCUACAAAUUUAAAUGUAGAAGCAAAAAAAGAAAGGAAAAAUCAAAUAUCGACACAUUUGACACAACCAGGGAGCUUAAGAACUUAGAAAGAGGAAAUAUACAUGCUAAGGCCUUACCAUCAACGCAUUUGACAGCAACUGUCGCCGUUUUUCAUUUCGUACUUCUUGAUCAAAAUAGACUACCUCCCUGUCAUAUCUAAUGGGAAAAAAAAUACAAAAUAAGAGAUUCCGGAUCAAGUUGAACAAGAAGUAUACUCCAAGACUGUAGGCACACUAUGCUAACUAUUAAUGGUAACAAAACAGAAACAGAAAGAGACGUUGAGACAUUAGUGGAUUAUAGAAACAAAUCAACUGCAGCAACAAGGAAGGUUACGUUGGAGGACAAGAUAGAAACAGAAAGAGACGUUGGCUGAUUAUGGAAGGAAAUCAGCUGAGAAUUAAGCUAUUUAAUGUAUCCAAUUUAAGUAACUUGUAUUGCUAUAUAAUAACCAGCAGCCCCUGCAAAAUGUAUUGCUGUAUAUUCACGUUGUUUUCUUAAGAAACAGAGAAACCUUUAAAUAUAUACCUAUCCUCUGCAAUUUUUCUCUGUUCUUAUCACAAGCAAGACCUCCCGGAGAGAUAGAAUGGAAGAACCGCUGCCUUAGCCGAUCAACCUGUAAAAUACAUCACGUAAGGGAUUUCGGUCAGUAAUAACAAUAAUAAUAGCACAACUAGGUAACCCAAAAGCAUAAAAUUCUAAUUAACUUUGGUGAUAGGAAUUGUUUAAAAAAGAUAAAAUAAAAAUAUUUUAAUUAACCAAACAAGACUUUAAAUUUUUAUAUAUUUCUAUAUAUAAAUAUUGUAAUGCCGAAAUUUAAUAUCAUUUUUUUGUGAAAAAUCUAAUUAUCAUCAUUUAUAUAUAAAAAAAAUAAUCAGCGACCUUUGGUCUAUCUGAAUAAUAAAAAUAGAUUAUAAAGUCUGAUUAACAAAUUAUGGAGUGAUAAUAACCAUUAUAUUAUUAUUAUUAUUACCAAUGGCAAAACAAUUCAUGAUACCAAUGGCUGUGAAUUCUAAUUUAUUUGGUAAAACAGAAACAAAACUAAAGCCUAAAAUACUAGAAAAACACAAUCCAUCAGUUGAAAACAAUUAAUUUACCUUGUCUUUAAACUUCUCCUCCUCUAAUUCAUAGCUAGGCAAAGCAGUGACGUACCUCCACCUUCAUUUUAUAUUAAUAAUAAGAACACAAAGAAUUAGCACCGGUCGAAAAACUAUACCAAUCAAGAAAUUUAAGUUAAUAAAUGAAACUUAAAAAAUAAUAUCAUUUCAAAAAACCAUAUUAAAUUAAAAACUUAAAUUAUUAGUUGAUACCUAAAGAAUUAAUGACUUUAUAUUAACUCAUUAAAAAAUAUAUUUAGUUUUGGAUUUAAUUUGAUCCCCUCCAUUUCAUGGUUAACUAAAAGUGGCUUGAGUUUUAUGUCAAUUGAAAAUAAAAUAAAUUAGUAAAGCAUAUAUAUAUAAAUAUAGAAGCAUACGUUAAGGGAUCGAAGGAAUCAACCUACAUUAAAAAAAUCACCCAGAAGAGUCUACUCAGAAUUAAUCACAACAAUUAUUCCAUAUAUAUCUGUAUAAUUAUUUACCAGAGGAAAGAUUAUGAGAAAUUGUUUUGCAGAGAAUUAAUCGCAACAAUUAUUUCAUAUAUAUAUAUAAUGACUAAGGAGAUUAUGUCCACAACAACGUACCUUCUGAAUAUCUUCCCUCAGACUACCUUCUAGACGUUCAAGUGGAGUCUACUCAGAAUUAGAGACAUAGCUAGCUUAAUCAGUAUAUGUUAGAAAUAUUUAUCACAUACAAAUUGUGAUAUUGCAGGUUACGGAAAAUAGUUUUUUAUUCAGAAAAUCUCUCUAUUUAUAAAAAAAUAGACAAAGAAUCAUUAAAUUCAUUCUUUAGUUCCUAAACUAAAAAUUCAUUAAUGGCAGGCACAGCUACUUAAAGCAAUUAGUAGAUUAAUUAUUUAAUGUUUAAUUAAUGCAAAGUUUAGUUAAUUUAUACUUGGCCUCUUUCCCUGGCGCUGUCCGAUCCCUCCACGUCCAUGGCAAUUGUGAAAAGCUCGAUACCAAUACCCUUCCCAAUCCAAAUGCCUCGGGUUGUUUGACUCCUGAGAUUAUAUAUAAGCUAUAUUAUCUUUCAUGGCAGGGUAUAAAACUAGUAAAUCAAUAGACGAAUCCUCCUUUCUAAAACAAAUUAAAGAAUACCAUACCUUCCUUCUUCUGCAUCCAUCAUCCUGAAACUUGUCUGAAAGAGCUUGUUCAAGAGGGUGCUCUUCCCUGUUCACCAAAGAAGGUAAAUUGAACAAUUUAUACUCUUUCUCUGCAUGCUAGUGUGCGAUAAACACACAGAUCACUACAGAGAAACUAUGUAAAAAGAAUACAUACCGCCACUUUGGGGGCCCGUAAUUGCAACAACAGCAUAGGAGAGACCGCGUUGUGAGAGGUUGGUGGUCCUCGUAAGGUUUUCGAGUCCUUGCAUGUUUAAAACACCGUCACCGCUAAUCAGUUGGAAGCGGCAACAAUCUUCCGCCAUUAUUGUUACUCAACUUUGGACGUGUUUUUAGGUUAGUGAAUUAGAUGUAAAGGAUUCUCUGGGAAACUCAAGUUUUGAUUCUUAUUUUCUAGGAUUGUUUACACAGAUGAAGUUUACAGUACUUUGUUUCAAACUACGCGAGGUGUGGUACUCUGUAGAUAGAUAGAUAGAUAGAGCUACUUGAGUUUAUCGAAAGACAAUAGCAUUUUAGGGUUUUGUUAAGAAGAAGAAGAAGAAGAAGAAGAAGGGUUAUAUGUUUCUAGAGUGUCUGGUUUUCUCACAAGUAUUGAUUUAGUGCCAACUGAGGGUGGCGUAGGGCUCUGUUUCUUAAGUGGCACUUGUUCUUCAUUUUUAUCCUUGCCAGAGUUUUAUGUCCACCGACCACAUGCACUUUUUUAAGUGACAACCUGUGUAGGGUUUUUGUUAACCCUUAAUCUAGUGUCAAGUGCCAAAUCAAGUUGGUUGAUAAGUUCAUAAGAAAACAAAAAUUAAGUUGGCCUCUAUAUUCAACUCUUAAUUAUUUGAAUAGUAUCCAAUGGGAUUUUUAUUUUUUUAAUCUCUCUAUCUUGACUUGACUUGAUCGAUGUCACGGGAUUUACACUUCAGCCCUCAAAUAUCUGUACAAUUUGCAAAGAUGGAUCAGGAUCUUUUCUGUUCACAAGAGUUAUGCUUUUAUUACCAAGAUACAAAGAAAGUUGGAGAUUAAUUAUUUACCGAAAAUAUCAUAUUAAAAGUUUCCUCUUUCCGGUCACGGUAGUGACAUCCUCCUUCUACCUCCAUUGAUUAUUACUCUACAGUACCGAAUUCGAUUAAUCUAUGAUGAGGCAUUUGCAAGAAUAUUACCUUUUGUAGAAACUGAAAAUAUUUUUACCAUUUGUAGAAACUGAUGAUAUUUUUACCAGUACCGCUUAUCAAAUUACAAACAAACUUCUUUCAUCAGAUUCACCAUAACAUGUUGCAUGGAUCGUUGGACACACAAUUAAUAUCAACUGUCCAAGUGUGGAUUUGUCAUUAUUAUUGUUGUCACCGCCUCAUCCAUCUCAAGAAGAUCGCAAUCCCUGCAUUUACCACUGCAACAGGCCCCGCCACCGCAGCAGCAGCAGCAGCAGCAACACCAGCACCAGCAGCAGCAUACCUUCGAGUUCUCCUGCGACCAUCCUGAAGGAAACACCAAGUAUUACAUUUCGAGUGAUGCAUAAAUUUCUAGUCAUAAAAACUUUAAUUGGCUUAAAGUAUUUUCUUGGUUUCAGUGCUUAAGUUUAGUAAGUAUAGGAACUUCAAUUGGUAUAUAAAUUGAAGAUGGCAUAUGAUAAACCGAGAAUGUUCUAAUAAAUUGAGUUUAAAGUUUUUGUUUUUAGUAAAAAAUACAUCCAAACAGAUAUAGUGAAUGCAAUCAAAUUACCAAAUGAACAUGUAAUGUGAUACCAGAGUAAAAUAUACCUGGCGGGAUCUAGCUCCGGUCAUCAUAGGCUUUAUCUUUUCUAUGAAAUUCAUCCACAAUGAUUUGCAGUCCUCUGGUUUAAGUAGAGUGGUAGCUUUUGGAGAAACCUGCUCAUAUUUGAUUAUUAUGUGAAACCAGUUUGGCACAGAGACGUGUAAAACUAAAUGCAUUACAUUUGCAUACCAUUAAGCAUGCAUAAAUAUAACUUAAACACACAUUCACCAACUGUUACCUCUUCCCAUGUGUCUGAGGCAAGGGGGUCCAGUGUAGCUCCCAUGAACGUAUUUUGCAAAGAUGGAUCAGGAACAGUUCUAUCCAUAAGAGAGGAAAAGAGUACUUUCUCAAUCUGAUCAGGCAUUCCAUCGAAGCGCAUGGCCGCCAUGAUUGAUAGUAUUCUCAAAGACUAUAACAAAAUAAUUGGGAGACAUUCAGAGGGAACUCAAAGUUUAACCAUUUGAGCAUCCCAGCAGCCAUUAAUUAUACAAAAUCUAGGCAAUAUUACCUCUGAGAGCGCGUUCCUUUCAACUACAUCAAGGUUUAUUUCCUCAGUCCAAUUAUACCAUGACAUUGAGUUUUCAUAAUCACCGAGGACCUGUGAAAACCUAGAAUACGCCCCAAAUCUUUAAUAAAAAACAAAAUUGAAAAAGAAGACAGCAACAAUGAAGUAAUGUACCUAUACUUCAUUCGACUCAGAACUCUCCCUGCAGCUGCUGCUUCUCUUGCCUUCAUCUCCAAUAAAUUUCUGGCAUGCUCCCUCAAAUGUUGCGAUUUAGUGUCGAUUUCCGAACUGUUCAAAUUGAAACUAACAGCAGCAUCUGAAAACUCCGAUACAGCAGCCUCAGUGUUGCACUCAAAAAGAUUUCUUAUUGAUGCCCAUGUAUCUCGUUCACCAGCUUCCAAUAAGGACUUUACUCUUUUGGCAAGCGCACGAGUUAUUCGUUUCUGUGCAGGUGCAACAUAUCAAGAUUUGAUAAUUUGAUUGAGUAGAGUGACAUACAUAGCACCAAGAACGUUAACGGAUUGUGAUAUCAGUGAAGGUAAUACCUUGUACUUUGCCAUCAUUUCUGACAACAUAUCACAAAUAAGUUUUUCGCGGAAUUUCGAAGCAUUCCACUCACUCUGUUGAAUGGCAGCAUCUGAAAGAGCACAAUAUUGAAGGUAACUUGCCAAGUCCAGGAAACUGAAUUAGUAGAUGAAAGAUGCUCACCAAUCAUAUGAACGCAAAUCAUAGAAGGAUGGGCUAUGUUAGCAAUAUCUUAAAAAGUUGUAGUCACUUCUCUGUGAAACCAGCCACCUAAGUCAACAAUGGUGGGAGUCAACAAUGGUGGUGAAGCCAUCCUUCCUUAGUCACAAAUUGUAGGCACCAAACUUGUGCCACUUGCCUUGCCCCUUGUAUUUGCAUGGAUGUUUGCCUAUAAAUAGGCAAUGCAUCCAAGCAUUGAAAACACACCACAAGAGAGAAACAAGAGAGGAAGAGAAGAGUGAGAGAGGGAAAGUAAUCCCAUAAAAUUGUGAGGUAUUUGUGAGAGAGUAAGUGAGGUGUUUUCUCCUAGUAAUAGAGAGAUUCUUAGUUGUUCUUUUAUUACUUGAGAGAGGUUGUAAUUCCCACAUUACUAGUAAAAUCCUUCUAUACUUGCCCGUGGACGUAGCCUAAUUGGGUGAACCACGUAAAUUCUUGUGUGUUUCAUUUCUCAUUUAAGCCUUUUAUCUUGUCGGGUUUGCAUGCCAGUAUCCUAACAGUGGUAUCAGAGCCUUCCUGGUUGGUGUUGUUAACACACAAAAGUUAUUCGUGUAUACGGGUACUAUUCACGUCUACGACACUAUUCACGUCUACGACACUAUUCACAUAUACGGCACUAUUCAUCCAUACGGUAUUGUUCACUUACGUUACUGUUGGCGUAUAUAGAAAGUCAGUGCGGUGAUUAAAUACAGUCUAGGAAGUUCUGUCUAAGGAGAUUGAGUUUUAAGCGGGACCGUUUGUGACCCCUCCAAUCUUUCCUAGGAACUUACUUAGUGAAGUAUUAUUCACAUGAUACUAUUUCUAUAUACGUUACAGAUCUGUGAAACGGUGAUAGCUGAAUAGAUCUCGGUGAAUACAAUGACAACAAAGUACGAGAUUGAGAGGUUCAAAGGGAGCAAUUUCUCACUGUGGAAAAUGAGAAUCAAGGCAAUCUUGAGGAAAGACAAUUGCUUGGCAGCAAUUGGGGAUCGGCCCACGAAGAUCACUGAUAAUGCAAAAUAGAAUGAGAUGGAUGACAAUGCUAUUGCUAACAUACAUUUAACAUUAGCUGAUGAAGUAUUAUCAAGUGUGGCGGAGAAGAAAACAGCUAAGGAGAUAUGGGAGACUCUAACAAAGCUAUACGAGUCCAAGUCUUUGCACAAUAAGAUUUUCUUAAAGCGGAGACUUUAUACCCUUCGAAUGGCAGAAACCACGUCGGUGACUGACCACAUCAACACAAUAAGAACUCUAUUUUCACAACUCACUACGUUGGGUCAACAAAUAGAGGAAAAUGAACGUGCAGAGCUUCUACUUCAAAGUCUUCCUGAUUCGUAUGAUCAGCUCAUUAUCAACUUGACCAAUAAUAUCCUCUCAGACUAUUUAGUCUUCGAUGAUGUUGCAGCUGCUAUCUUGGAAGAAGAAAAUAGGCGCAAAAACAAAGGAGACAGAAACAGUUCAAACCAAGCUGAGGCAUUGUUGGUAUCAAGAGGAAGAUCAACGGAACGUGGCUCAGUGGGAGUCAAAGGCAGGGGAGGUCCAAAUCAAGAAGUAAGAAGAUGGUGAAAUGCUACAACUAUGGCAGAAAAGGGCACUUCAAAAAGGACAGUUGGUUUAAAAAAGGUAUAGAGAAUACUGCAGAGUCAUCAAAACCUCAAGGAUGUGUUGCAAGCACCUCAGAAGAUGGAGAGGUUCUAUAUAGUGAAGCAGCAACAAUCUCUACAGAUAGAGAAGAGCUCACUGAGGUCUGGCUAAUGGAUUCAGGAGCAACAUGGCAUAUGACCCCUAGACGAGAUUGGUUCCAUACAUAUGAACCUAUCUCUGGAGGCACAGUGUUCAUGGGUGAUAAUCAUGCUUUAGAGAUUUCUGGCAUUGGCACCAUCAAAUUGAAGAUGUAUGAUGGCUUAAUUCGUACUAUUUCAGGAGUGCGACAUGUGAAAGACUUAAAGAAGAAUCUUUUGUCCGUAGGACAAUUUGAUAGUCUUGGCUGUAAGAUCCGAACAGACAAUGGAAUCAUGAAAAUUGUCAAAGGCGCGCUGGUGGUUUUAAAGGCAAGAAAGACAGUUGCAAACAUGUUUGUAUUAAUGGGAGAAACACAUCAGGGGCAGAAGCAUCAAUCGCAUCAGCCAGUCCUGCAGAAGAGAAGACGAUGAUGUGGCAUCAAAAACUAGGCCACAUGUCAGAGAAAGGUUUAAAGGUUCUCUCUGAUCAGAAGUUACUCCCUGGGCUUACAAAGGUUACUUUACCUUUUUGUGAGCACUGUGUUACAAGUAAACAACACAGGUUGAAGUUUGGCACGUCAACAACUAAGAGCAAAUGCAUCUUAGACCUGAUUCACUCUGAUGUUUGGCAAGCACCGGUUGUAUCCUUGGGAGGAGCAAGAUACUUUGUAUCAUUCAUAGAUGACUUCUCCAGGAGAUGUUGGGUGUAUCCGAUUAGAAGGAAGGCAGAUGUGUUCGCAGUUUUUAAAACCUUCAAAGCGCGGGUAGAACUUGAAUCUGAAAAGAAGAUCAAGUGUUUGAGGACUGACAAUGGAGGAGAAUAUACCAGUGAUGAAUUUGAUAACUUCUGUCAACAUGAAGGUAUCAAAAGGCAGUUCACAACGGCAUACACUCCACAACAAAAUGGAGUGGCAGAGCGGAUGAACAGAACUCUAUUGGAAAGAACAAGAGCAAUGUUGAAGGCUGCAGGUCUAGAAAAGUCAUUCUGGGCAGAAGCAGUCAAUACCGCCUGUUAUGUAAUAAAUCGAUCUCCGUCUACUGCAAUUGAGUUGAAGACACCGAUGGAGAUGUGGACUGGAAAGCCAGCUGAUUAUUCUCGAUUGCAUAUAUUUGGAAGUCCUGUGUACGUGAUGUACAAUACACAAGAAGUUAGCAAACUAGAUUCAAAAUCCAGAAAAUGUGUAUUCUUGGGAUAUGCUGAUGGAGUGAAGGGGUAUCGCUUGUGGGAUCCCACUGCCCACAAGGUAGUCAUCAGCAGAGAUGUCAUAUUUGCAGAAGAUAAAAUGCACAAGAAUAACACUUGGGAUCUUGUUCCGCUACCACAAGGAAAAAAGGUCAUUGGCAACAAAUGGGUUUACAAGAUAAAGCGUGACGACAAUGAUCAAGUGGAGCGGUAUUGUGCAAGAUUGGUGGUGAAAGGAUAUGCUCAGAAAGAAGGAAUAGACUUUAAUGAGAUAUUUUCUCCGGUGGUACAACUUACUACAAUUAGAGUAGUCUUGGCAAUGUGUGCUAUAUUUGAUCUUCACUUAGAGCAGUUAGAUGUGAAAACUGCAUUUCUUCAUGGAGAACUAGAAGAAGAAAUUUAUAUGCUCCAACCAGAGGGUUUGGCUGAAACAGGCAAAAAGAACUUGGUUUGUAGGUUGAACAAAUCUCUAUACGGUCUCAAACAGGCGCCGAAGUGUUGGUACAAGAGAUUUGAUUCCUUCAUAAUUAGCCUUGGGUACAACAGACUCAGUUCAGACCAUUGCACGUAUUACAAGAGGUUUGAAGAAAAUGAUGUUUUCAUCAUUCUGUUGUUGUACGUGGAUGACAUGUUGGUAAUAGGCCCCAACAAAGAUCGAGUCCAAGAAUUGAAGGCACAGUUGGCUAGGGAGUUUGAUAUGAAGGACCUGGGACCAACAAACAAGAUUCUAGGGAUGCAAAUUCACCGAGACAGAAGUAAGAGGAAGAUUUGGCUUUCUCAGAAGAAUUAUUUAAAGAAGAUCUUGCGACGCUUCAACAUGCAAGAUUGUAAGCCAAUUUCCACCCCACUUCCUGUUAACUUCAAAUUAUCCUCAAGUAUGUCUCCUAGCAAUGAAGCAGAGAGGAUGGAGAUGUCUCGAGUACAGUAUGCAUCAGCAGUGGGAAGUUUAAUGUUUGUCAUGAUAUGUACAAGACCAGACAUUGCACAAGCAGUGGGAGCAGCUAGUCGAUACAUGGCAAAUCCUAGUAGAGAGCAUUGGAAUACUAUUAAGAGGAUCUUGAGAUACAUCAAGGGUACCUCAGAUGCCGCAUUAUGUUAUGGAGGAUCAGAAUUUACUAUCAGAGAUUAUGUUGACUCAAAUUUUGCUGGUGACCUUGAGAAAAGAAAAUCCACUACAGGCUAUGUGUUCAUAAUUGCAGGAGGAGCUGUGAGCUGGGUCUCUAAACUUCAGACUGUUGUAGUGUUAUCCACAACAGAAGCUGAGUAUAUGGCAGCUACACAGGCUUGUAAAGAAGCAAUAUGGCUGAAGAAACUUAUGGAGGAGCUCGGGCACAAACAAGAGAAGAUUCUUUUGUAUUGUGAUAGUCAGAGUACCUUGCAUAUUGCAAGGAAUCCAGCGUUUCAUUCAAGAACAAAACAUAUAGAUGUUCAGUAUCACUUUGUUCGCGAAGUGGUGGAAGAUGGAAGUGUGGAUUUUCAGAAGGUUCACACAAAGGAAAACCCAGCAGAUGCUUUAACCAAACCAGUCAACACUAAUAAGUACAUAUGGUGCAGAUCCUCUUGUGGCCUAGCAGAAACAUAAGCAGCAUGAAGAUGGCAAGUAUUGAAAGGAUAGAAGAAUCACAAAUGAUGAAGUGUGAAGACUUGAUUCAAUCAUCAAAGUCUUCAAGUGGGAGAAUGUGAAACCAGCCACCUAAGUCAACAAUGGUGGGAGUCAACAAUGGUGGUGAAGCCAUCCUUCCUUAGUCACAAAUUGUAGGCACCAAACUUGUGCCAAACUUGUGCCACUUGCCUUGCCCCUUGUAUUUGCAUGGAUGUUUGCCUAUAAAUAGGCAAUGCAUCCAAGAAAACACACCACAAGAGAGAAACAAGAGAGGAAGAGAAGAGUGAGAGAGGGAAAGUAAUCCCAUAAAAUUGUGAGGUAUUUGUGAGAGAGUAAGUGAGGUGUUUUCUCCUAGUAAUAGAGAGAUUCUUAGUUGUUCUCUUAUUACUUGAGAGAGGUUGUAAUUCCCACAUUACUAGUAAAAUCCUUCUAUACUUGCCCGUGGACGUAGUCUAAUUGGGUGAACCACGUAAAUUCUUGUGUGUUUCAUUUCUCAUUUAAGCCUUUUAUCUUGUCGGGUUUGCAUGCCAGUAUCCUAACAUUCUCGUCAUUUAAUCCUUUAAGUUACUUUUUUCCUAUAUCCCAGGCAAUCGCUUUGUUCAAUGAAGUAGUCAUUUAACUAGCAUUAAUCUUCUGGAGCAAAACUGUAACAACUUGAGAUUUGCACGAGUACAGAAUGCAAGUGGUCACCUAAGAAGACGAGGUGAAGGAACGCAUCCUGAGAAUGUAUACCAUAAUUGAUUCUAGUGAUAGAGAAAAAAACUAAUUCUCAUACGGAAUCAAACCAAUUCAGGGCAGUUUUGGGAGUUUUAUAACUCAUGCAUAUAUCAUAUCAGUUAGAUGAAGUUUUUCCUUCAGGUUUAAACUAUUUCUGCAGUCAUAUUACUUGCCCAUCGAGUGCCGCUAGUCUCCAUUACCGGAGCAUGCCAAUGAGAAUUAUAAAAUUUCACAAUUCAUCAAACAGAAGGCUAAAUAGCAGUACCUAAGCAAUUGAAUCAGACCCUUGAGACAAAUUAAUUAUCUUAACUGUCAAGCUAGACAACUUAGCCUAUCCAGGAUAGAUAUAUGCAGCCUACUCAAGAUGGAUAUAAAUCCAGCAGUUAAGUUGUUUAGCUAAUUCGAAUAGAGGACUAGCUGGAAAGUAUCUAAACUCAUAUAAACAGCAACGACAGACAAAUCAGAUUAGUUCCACACAAAAUUUCAAGGUUCAAAUCUAAACUGAUGUGCAUAUUUGCUUUAGCCAAAACCUGCAAUUAUGCAAAUAGUUCCUGUCAUAUUUGCACUAGUCAAUCAUUAAAUGAUUAUGGUCCUUUCGUAACCAAUCCAAUGCAUGUAGUUUUAAGUAUCAGAAAACGAUUGACCAUGAAAACCAUGAGGAUAAAUUCCAUUUCACAGCAGAGCAAGUUUGAAUUCCAGCCAACGCUAUACAGAAUUUGUAAAAAGAAGAGUUGCUUUAGAAGAUUAUGAAGUCCAAAAAAUACCCUUCAGUUUUGUGCAUAUAAGAUGCAACAACAAAAGCAAAGAAAAACUAAAUUAAUAUUGGAUUUUUAGAAAAGAAAAAACUGAAAUAAAAAAAUAAAAAUCUUCAGUGUUUGGAGUCUAAAUACCUUCACAUCCUUGAUCAAACUCGCGCAUGCACGAUUGGGAACAGAGAUGAAUAGCAGCAACAUAUUCUUUUCCUUCAUUCAGUGACUGUUUCAGGCUAGUUUUAAACCUAUUGACUGUGCUGGAAUGCAAAUGCAUCAGCAUGGUAUCAUAGGCAUCGCGUACCACCUACAUAACAUAUUGGCACAUUUGAGUUGAUCAGUAUAAGAAACAUAUAAAUACAAAAACACCUGCGAAAAAAAAAAAGCCCAAGAAAAGAUCAAAUAUCAACAAAUUUGACAACUAGGGAGGUUAAGAACAUAGAAAGAGGAAAUAUACACGCUAAGGCCUUACCAUCAAUGCAUUUGACAGCAACAGUUGCCGUUUUGCAUUUCGUACUUGAUCAAAAUAGACCACCUCCCUCUCAUAUCUAAUGGGGGAAAAAAACGCAAAAUAAGAGAUUCCGGAUCAAGUUGAACAAGAAGUAUAUGGAUAAUUUAAGUAGGAAUCAAUUACUUCGCGAACGGAAGUAUAACUAUCAAAUUGAUCAUAAUUCAAAGUUUCCACUUCGUUUUGAGACAGACAAGCGUAUACUCAACUGAUCAACUGACGGAAGAAGUAUUAAAAUUGAAGAAUCUUGGAAUAAAACACAAUGUAAGUUAACAUUAAAUAUCACACAGAUCUUACAAUGUGAACACAUCAUCUUAUAGAAUUGACCCCAUGAUGUAUACUUACUCUGAAAGAUAGGUUUCCAAAAUAGAACUGACAGCUCCUCCAAACCCUGAUACUGGACAAUCUUGAACAACUUCCUUCAUUUUCAACCAAUCCUGUAAGAAAUAAAUUUAGCACUAACUGAUAUUAAAUGAGGUCGGUGAACUUUAAAAGAAAGAAAUUAGAAAAUAGAUUCAAUAAAGUACCUCGUCGGUUGUAAAGCAUUUGAGCUUCUCACCAGCAAUCUCUUCACAUCGAACUGUGGCAACCAUGACCUGAUAAACAAGAUGAGAAGUAUAUUUACAUAUGAAACCUGAUGGUUUAUAUUUACAGAGGAAAAUGGCGUUUAAUAAACCUUGACAGCAGGAAGAUCUAAAUCCCUGUUGUCUUUUAUUAUUUUCCAAAUCUCUUCUGCACGAAGAGUAAAUCCUGAAGCAGGCUCAACUUCCUCCCUGUCACCAACAAGACCUCCUGGAUAAAUGGAAUGGACAAACCGCUGCCUCAGUUGAGCAACCUGUAAAUGUCAAUGCUAUCAGAAAAAUGUAGUUACGAAUUACAGAUACUGGAUUUUUCACUUGAUGAUUGCUGUCCUAAUUGCUCCCACAUACACAGAUCCAUAAAAUUAUCUGAUCACAGGACUUAAUGCUCAUUUUGUCAUUCUUACAUGACACACUCCUAAUGACUAUUAAACACUCUCCAGUCAAAGCUAAGCUGUUCUGUCCCUUCAUACAAAUGCCAAUGAUUGUGAAUUCCAAUUAUUUGGUAAGCAUGUUCAAAGCUACAAAUCAUUCCAGAUAUCAAUUCUAGAAAACACGCAGCAGCACAAUCUAGAAGAACUCAGGACAAAAGUUUUGAGGAUUGACAAACUGCUUUCUUAGUGGAAAAGCUACCUGCUCUUUAAAUUUCUCCUCCUGGAAUUCAUAGUGAGGCAAAGCAGUGAUCUCCACCUUUAUAUCAAUAAUUAGAAGCAUAUUAAGUUCAUGGAACUUAAACAAAAAGGCAACAUAUGAUAAAUAUAUGCCAAUGGCAUCAGUAUGGAGAUGGAGGUGAUUUUUCAUACAUUAAAAAACUCUCUGAGAGGAGCGCUGCAGAGAGUCUCAGGCUCAGCAACUGCAGCCCAAAUCUGCAGAAAGUAUGACCUCAGAAAAUGCUGGAGAAUAAGAAGAGAAAUAAUUGAUCCAGAAAGAGAAAUGCAUAAACAGAGAAUAAGAAGUAUGAACAGAAGUACCUUCUCAAUAUCUUCUAAGAGAGCAGUCUUUAAAUAUUCAAGUGGAGUCUACACAGACAAUUAGAAAAGGGACAGAGAUUCAGCGUUGAGGAUGCAUUCAAAGAAUGGAGCAUUCAAGUGGAAUCUUCUCUCAAGAAACUUACGGGCACAACAAGUCCAUACCUUUGAGUGAUCACGUAGAACAAACAGUAGUGUUUUUUUGCGGGGCUUGAAUAAACGCUUCAUGACCUGAAUACAAGAAAUAAUAGAUUAUCACAUAUCAGCAUCAAAUUAUGUUGGGUGAAAUACUCAAUAUUACACACUGGGCUAAAUGAAUGCAGCUAAACAGUUUUGAUAAAAUGGGGUAAGUUUGCUGUGAAUAUGGAAUCAGAGGCUCAGGCUUACCUAAGGUUAAGAAAAACACAGGUAUCCAAUCAAAUGCAAUUAAAUGUGAGACAAUCCAAACUUGACUUUCUAAAGAAGUUUGGAUAUUGGUCACUUAAGUUAAUGCAAAUUGCUUUCAAGUACCUGGAAAACUAUUUUUAAAAGGGGUCUGCUGGCUGCAUUUUCCAGACCAAUGUCUUUGUACCACCUGCAUAUGAUACUCAACACAAAAUCAUUUGACAGAAAAAAGUACUGGGCUGCCUUACCGACUAUGGAAGACUACAUCAUGAGUUUUUUUUUUUUUUUUAAAAAAAAAAUUUUCUAGACAGAGUCAUACGCAGUUGUGGACAUUUAUCAAACUUCACAGGCAGAAAAGGCAUUCAAAUAUUAUAAUGAUGAACAUAAAAAACUCACAUGUUUAUCAAAACAACGUCAGCGAUAUUAACAGCAACCAAACAACUCUGCAGCAGCAGCAGGAGGCAGCAGCAGCAGCAGCACAGGAUCCUCACCUUUGCCAGCAACUGCAGCAGCAGCAGGAGACAACAGCAGCAGCACCACAGGAUCCUCACUCUCGUCACCAACCAUUCUGAAAUAACAUCUCCAACGGCUACUAUUCAGAAUGGUAAUUAACCAUACAUGGAAAUCAUAGCUGUGGCUACCUCAACCAACGGCUACUUCUCAAAGAAGGAAAUUACAACUAUGGCACACCUCUCAUAGAAGGAAACUACAACUACCUUAUAUCAGAAACAAAUCAAUAUAUAUAAAUAAGGAAUAUUGUAUUCAUAGAAAGAAAUAAGUAAUGAAAAGGCAAUAGCUAAUUACUACUCUAUAUAUAAAGAGUAUCCUGUACAAAGUUCAAGUAAUAGUGCUCACGUUUGUAUGCUCAAUAGUAUUGCAGUAAACACAUAUUCUUCAUCUACUAUGUCCCCUGUUCAGCUUUUUCUCUUGGUAUCAGAGCUUGAGUGAGCACACACAUAUCAAACACAAUCACAUCCUUCACAAUGACUUCGUUGUCUCUCAAUGUUGGUAACUUUAUUACCCUCAAACUUAACCAAACAAACUACCCAUUAUGGAGAGAACAUGUUGAAAUUUAUUGCCUUAAGUUGCUGACGUGUUGCUUGAAGACCAGUUCAGCUCACGUAUUGUUUUUAUCUCUGCUAGAAUAAAGGAUUGAACAAGUCCUUAGGUGAAUUGUUAGUAAUGGCGAAAUGUAAGCCAAACGUGGCAGUAGUGUUGCGUAUUUUUAGUUUUUCUGUUUAUUUUCUUUCUAUAAAUCAGUGUAAUUGAUUGCUGUAAAAAUAAGCAAUCAUCCUUAUCAUUAUCUAGUUUUUCAUGCAAUAAACAUCCACUGUUCAAAUACAGAUUUCUGGUGUUGAUCUACAGUAACAAACAGUCACUGUAGGAUCAAAGUCUUUUAUUUUUCUGCUUCUCUGUUCUUCACUUAUUCUGCAAAAGUAUUUUCAAUUGGUAUCAGAGCUUAUUUCUUGAAGGGUCUGUAAUGGAUUCCAAAACUAACUUCUCUCAUAUCUCAACUCCAAUCUUCAAUGGAGAAAAUUACCAACUUUGGGCAGUACGAAUGGAAACAUAUUUAGAAGCUAUGGAUUUAUGGGAAGCUGUUGAAGAGGAUUACGAGAUCCUACCACUGCCAAUUAAUCCAACCAUGACUCAAAUCAAGAGUCAUAAGGAGAGAAAGACCAAGAAAUCAAAAGCAAAAGCCACUCUUUUUGCUGCUGUUUCAACAACGAUCUUCACCAGGAUCAUGUCCCUGAAGUCAGCUAAGGAUGUCUGGGAAUAUUUGAAGGAAGAGUAUGCAGGAGAUGAGAAAAUUCGUGGGAUGCAAAGUCUCAAUUUAAUACGUGAAUUUGAGCUGCAGAGGAUGAAGGAUUCUGAGACUAUCAAGGAGUACUCAGACAGAUUGCUGGGAAUUGCAAACAGGGUGAAAUUGCUGGGAACUUCAUUCUUAGACUCAAGAAUUGUUGAGAAAAUUCUGGUCACAGUACCAGAAAAAUAUGAAGCUUCAAUCACCACUCUGGAGAACACAAAAGAUCUGUCAAGUAUUACCUUGACAGAACUUUUGAAUGCCUUACAAGCCCAAGAACAAAGAAGGCUUAUGAGGCAAGAUCAUGUCAUUGAAGGUGCCUUGCAAGCCAAAUUUCCAGAUUCUGAAAGAAGGAAAUUUGGCAGAAAACACCAAGUUGCAGCCAAACCCACCAGUCAAGGUCAUAGUAAAGGAAAAUUCAUUAAAAGAAAUUUUCCACCAUGUCAACAUUGCAACAAGAUGGGUCAUCCACCAUUCAAGUGCUGGAAGAGGCCUGAUGCAAGGUGCAACAAAUGCAACCAGCUUGGGCACGAGGCAAUCAUCUGCAGAGUAAAAAAUCAGAAACAAGAAGAGGAUGCUCAAGUUGCAAAUCAGGAUGAUGAAGACCAGAUGUUUGUGGCAACAUGCUUCUCAGUACAAACUACCUCUGAUCAUUGGCUAAUCGACAGUGGUUGUACAAACCACAUGACUUUUGAUAAAAGUCUCUUCAAAAAUUUGCAGCCAACAGAUGUUGCAAAAGUCAGAAUUGGAAAUGGUGAAUGCAUUGAAGCUAAGGGAAAGGGAACAAUUGCCAUUACAACAAACUCAGGUACAAAAACAAUAGCAGAUGUUCUUUAUGUACCUGAUAUUGAUCAAAAUUUGCUGAGUGUGGGGCAAUUGAUUGAGAAAGGAAUGAAGGUGAUUUUUGAGAAUCACACUUGCUGUAUUUUUGAUGCUGCUGGGCACAAAAUACUUCAAGCUAAAAUGAGAGGCAAAAGCUUCUCAUUUGUUCCAUUUGAAGGAGAGCAUACUGCAUUUCCAGUCACUCUUAGUGACACUGAACUAUGGCACAAACGGCUGGCACACUGUCAUCAAAAGAGGAUGCUCACCAUGAAGGUUCAUGAAGUUGUCAGAGGUAUGCCAUCAUUCACUGAUCUCCAAUUAAACUGUAAUGCUUGUCAAUUUGGGAAGCAAAAUAGAAUGCCAUUUCCACGAUCAAUUUGGCGAGCAACACACAAGCUCCAGUUAAUUCAUACGGAUGUAGCUGGUCCCUUAAGCACACCAUCACUAAAUGGCAGCAGAUACUAUCUGUUAUUUAUUGAUGAUUACUCCCGUAUGUGCUGGAUAUAUUUCAUGAAGUUCAAGUCAGAGGUGGCUGGCAUCUUCUGGAAAUUCAAGAAAAACGUGGAGAACCAAAGUGGCAGCAGCAUUCAAGCCAUACGGUCUGACAAUGGCAAAGAGUAUACCUCAGCCGAAUUCAACCAUUACUGUGAAGAUGCUGGUAUUGAACACCAGCUAACAACCCCCUAUACUCCAGAACAGAAUGGGGUAAGUGAAAGGCGUAAUCGAUAUGUCAUGGAGAUGGUGAGAAGCAUGAUGCAUGAGAAGAAUCUACCCAAAAUGCUGUGGGCAGAAGCUGCUAACACAGCAGUGUUCAUCCAGAAUCGACUUCCAACAUCAGUGUUGGCAGAAAUGACACCCUUUGAGAUGUGGUAUAAUUAUAAGCCUUCCUUGCGUUUCCUCAAAAUUUUUGGUUGUGUAUGUUUUGUACAUGUUCCACAGAUUAAGAGGAACAAGCUUGACAAGAAAGCCAUCAAAGGAAUUUUUGUUGGCUAUAGCACAAUUUCUAAAGCCUACAAGGUUUAUCAUCCUCAAAGUCAGAAAAUUGCUAUUACAAGGGAUGUCACAUUUCAUGAAGAUGCACAGUGGGAGUGGGUUGAUUCACAGGAGAGCAUGCUGAUUAAUAAUCAAAUUCAGCCCUUGCAAGAUAAAUUGAUUGACUCCGAAUCAAUUGAUGAUGAACCAGUCAGGGGUACUCGAUCAAUUGAAGAAAUUUAUCAAAGGAGCAAUGUUGCUGUGUGCGAACCUGACAACUAUGAAGAAGCUCAACAAAAUCCAUCAUGGCAGAAGGCAAUGGAAGAAGAAAUCUUCAUGAUCGAGAAGAACAAGACGUGGGAACUUGUUGACAGACCUGGAGACAAAAACAUCAUUGGCGUAAAAUGGAUUUUCAGAACCAAAUUGAACGCUGAUAGUUCAAUCAACAAAUUCAAAGCCAGGCUCGUUGUCAAGGGAUAUGCUCAAGUGUAUGGGGUUGAUUAUUCAGACACAUUUGCCCCAGUAGCAAGGAUGGACACUAUCCGAUUGCUACUUGCUGUUGCAGCACACAGAAACUGGAAGGUGUUCCAGUUGGACGUCAAAUCUGCCUUCUUGAAUGGUGUUCUUCAAGAAGAAAUUUACGUUGAACAACCUGCUGGAUUUGUUGUUCAAGGCAAAGCUGACAAGGUGUAUUUGUUGAAGAAGGCACUCUAUGGAUUAAAACAGGCACCAAGGGCCUGGUAUGGAAGAAUUGAUGAGUACUUGACAGGUUUUGGUUUCCAGAGAAGCCCCUCUGAAUCAACUCUCUAUGUGAACAAAAUUGAAGGUGAUGUUCUAAUUGUGUCACUGUAUGUUGAUGACCUUCUUGUGACUGGGAGUAAUUUGCAGCAAAUCGAAAGGUUCAAGCAGGAUAUGAUGCAAGCUUUCGAGAUGAGUGAUCUUGGGCUCAUGAGUUUCUUUCUCGGCAUGGAGAUCAAGCAAGACAGAGGAGAAAUUUUUAUUGGACAAGAAAAAUAUGCAAAGGAAAUUUUGAAGAAAUUUCAAAUGGAAAAUUGCAAGCCAACUGCAACUCCAAUGAAUCAGAAGGACUUGCGUAAAAUGGAUUUUCAGAACCAAAUUGAACGCUGAUAGUUCAAUCAACAAAUUCAAAGCCAGGCUCGUUGUCAAGGGAUAUGCUCAAGUGUAUGGGGUUGAUUAUUCAGACUUGUUUACCAAAGCACUCCCUGCAAAUCGGUUUGAAUUUCUAACCAGGAUGAUUGGGGUUUGCAGCCCUUAAUGCAAGGAGGAGUGUUGAAAUUUAUUGCCUUAAGUUGCUGACGUGUUGCUUGAAGACCAGUUCAGCUCACGUAUUGUUUUUAUCUCUGCUAGAAUAAAGGAUUGAACAAGUCCUUAGGUGAAUUGUUAGUAAUGGCGAAAUGUAAGCCAAACGUGGCAGUAGUGUUGCGUAUUUUUAGUUUUUCUGUUUAUUUUCUUUCUAUAAAUCAGUGUAAUUGAUUGCUGUAAAAAUAAGCAAUCAUCCUUAUCAUUAUCUAGUUUUUCAUGCAAUAAACAUCCACUGUUCAAAUACAGAUUUCUGGUGUUGAUCUACAGUAACAAACAGUCACUGUAGGAUCAAAGUCUUUUAUUUUUCUGCUUCUCUGUUCUUCACUUAUUCUGCAAAAGUAUUUUCAGAACAAGCCCUGGCUCUUGCAGAAAGUCAGGAGCUUGUUGAGCAUCUCACCAAUAAAGUUCUUGCACCAGCAAAAUACAACACACAAGAUUCAAUCAACAACCUGCACACAGAAAAUACAGCACCAGUCUUAACACAAGUCUUCAUCACUUGGAGAAAAUCUGACCGACUCAUUCGAGGUUGGAUUAUUGGAACUUUAUCUGAAGAAGCACUUAGCCUUGUUGUUGGACUAGAAACAACAUCUGCUGUUUGGGAAGAAUUGAAGAAUGCAUAUGCUAAAGAUUCACAAGAACGUGAAUUCACACUUCGGCAGCAGGUUACCUACUUCCGUAAACAUGAAAAUCAGUCCAUGGAAGAGCAUAUCCGCACCUUCAAAAGAUUGUGUGACAGCCUUGCAGCAAUUGAAAAACCAGUUUCAGACAAUGAAAAGGUUUUUUGUCUUCUCACCAGCCUUGGUCCACAAUAUGAAAACUUCACAACAACUAUGUUGAAGCCUCCAAGACCAUCCUAUUCAGAGCUGGUUUCACAGCAAAAUUUUGAUCAACGUCGAAAUUGGUUCUCCUCUCAUAUAGAUAUAACAAACACACAGGUUCCACAACAACUUGCAUUUUAUGGACAACAACAGCAACGCCAUCAGCAGAGAACACAGCAGCCUUCCUCAGCACGCAACACAUAUCAGUUCACCUCUAAUGGAAGAGGAUUUCAAGCCCAGCAAUCUAGAGAUCAAAAUAUAAGGUAUUUUAAUCCCACUCAACAACGUCGUCCUCCACCACCAGGAGAACGCCGCAUGACUCAAACAGAACGAGAUUUGUAUCGUGAAGACAAAUGCCAAUAUUGUGGCACAACGGGUCACAUUGCUAAAAUAUGCUGGUGGAUACCUAAACAAAAUACUACUCAGGACACUGAAAUCCCACAAGCACUAGCAGCCCUUACGCUAGACAACACCGUAGUUGACACAGAAUGGACAUCAGACACUGGUGCAUCAAAUCACAUGACAAGUAAGCCAGGUAUGUUAACUGAUGUUCGUAAGUAUUUUGGAACUGACUCUGUUGUUAUUGGAAAUGGAUCGUCUCUACCGAUUGUUGGUAUUGGAGAUUCAUUUAUUAAACAAAACAAUACUAAAUUAACUAUUAAUGAUGUUCUCCUUGUUCUUGAAUUAACUAAAAAUUUACUUUCAAUAAGUCAGCUUACCAAACAAUUUCCUAUGAACUGUGAGUUUUCUGACGUCGAUUUUUGUGUUAAGGAACGGAAAACAGGACAACCUCUGAUCACAGGUAGACGUAAAGGUGAUCUUUAUGUCUUGCACAACUCGCCAAAAUUACAUUUUUCUUAUCGUUUUAAAACUGGAUCAGCAGAAGUUUGGCAUCAAUGCCUAGGACAUCCUCAAGCUUCUACAAUGUAGCUAUUAAAAAAUAAAGGAUUGAUUGACGUCACAGGAGCUAUGAAGACUGAGCACCUUUGUGAUAGUUGUCAAUUAGGAAAACUUAGCAAAUUACCUUUUUCGCAUUCUGAACAUUCAAGUACUGAUGUUUUUGAAAAAAUACAUUGUGAUUUAUGGGGACUUGCCCCUGUUUUAUCAAUUGGAAAAUUUGAAUAUUAUGCUUGCCUAGUAGAUGAUUUCUCUAAAUAUACAUGGAUAAUUGCUCUUCAUAACAAAUCUGAUUUUCUAACAGUGUUUAUAUCAUUCGAAAAGUAUGUUAGUAGGCAAUUCAAUAAACAAAUCAAAGUCUUUCACUCAGAUGGAGGAGGAGAAUUUAUUAACUCAAAAUUAUCAAGUCAUUUUCGCUCCACAGGAAUUGUUCACCAGGUAUCUUGUCCUUACACUCCUAAACAAACAUGUAUGGUUGAAAGGCGACACAAAAUUAUAAGAGAACUAGGUAUGGCAAUGUUAUUUCAUAGUGGUACUCCUUUAUUUUUAUGGGUUGAAGCUUUUUCAACUGCUGUUUAUCUCAUUAAUAGACUACCAUUUUCUGCUCUUAACUCUGACACUCCGUACUUCCGAUUACAUGGUAAACAUCCUAUUUAUUCAUCUCUUCGUAUUUUUGGCUCCCGAUAUUUCCCUUACACUUGGGACAUAAGACAGAAUAAAUUUGAUCCAAAAAGUGUUCCAUGUAUUUUUGUAGGAUAUAGUGAUCAACAUAAGGGAUAUAAAUGCUUUCAUCCAACAAGCAAAUAUUUUUUUGUCUCACGACAUGUGGUUUUUAGUGAAUCUAUCCUUCCAUAUAAACAAACUAAUACCACCACAAAUAUUGAUCACUCUAAUCAUGUCAUUAGCAUAUUUGACUCUUGGCUAACUAUUCCUGCUUCAUGUUCUCCUGCAUAUAUCUCUGAAACACCAGCAGCGCCACCAUACCUCAGCUCAUUGCCCAUACCCUUGCUUCCUACCAUGAUCUCAGAUACACCAGUGUGUUUUACAAAUAUUUCUCCAACUUCUGUUGAUCUGCAACUCCAUGGUGACAGUACUCUAGCCCGCCAGCAGCUUCACCAGCAGUAUGACACUUCAAUUACUCAGCCGGAGACAUUACAGCAGGUGCACACUUCUUGCACUGAUAUCUCUAACUCUGCGGCUGAACAAUACCAUAGUCUGGAGAAUGAUAUUCAGCAGAUGGCAGCUUCCACACAGCAGGAGAUUGCCCACAAUCUCUACCCUGAUAUUUCCAAUCCUACAUCACAACAUUCUAUUCCUCCUCACUCCGAUCACCAGCAACCACUCCAUGAGAACUUAACUACUCAGCAGUAGCAAGACCACCCAAAUAUAGCUUCUCACUCUAUGGUUACUCGUUCACAACAUGCUCUACACAAAGCUGCACAACCUUCCUGUAGUGAUGCCUCCGCAGAUGAGCUUGUUCCCAAUUCCUCUACUUCAGCUCUUCGCACCAUGACCACUCGGUCCCAACAUGGCAUCAUAAAGCCAAAUCCCAAGUAUGCAUUAACCUCUGUCAUCUCUGUUGGAUACCACGUGAACCACGAUCUGUGCGAGCUGCACUUGCUCAUCCAGGAUGGAAAGCAACAAUGGAGGAUGAACUUACAUCCUUACACCAGAAUCAGACAUGGAAGUUGGUACCUCGUACCACCGAUAUGCAUAUCAUAGGUUCCAAAUGGGUGUUUAAAACCAAACUCAAAUCUGAUGGCAGCUUGGAGCGUCUCAAAGCUCGUGUUGUUGCCAAAGGAUACCAUCAAAUUGAUGGCCUCGACUACACUGAAACAUUCUCUCCAGUUGUAAAGCCCGGCACCAUUUGGCUAAUUAUCACUAUAGCUCUUAUUCAUAAUUGGUCUCUAUGGCAGCUUGAUGUCAAAAAUGCAUUUUUGCAUGGUUUGAUUUAUGAAAAUCUCUACAUGGAUCAGCCAUCAGGAAUGUCAGAUCCUCAUCAUCCACAGCAUGUCUGCAAGCUCCAACGUGCCCUCUAUGGCCUUAAACAAGCACCUCGUGCUUGGUUUGAUCGUUGUAGUUCCUUUCUUCUCAAAUACGGUUUUCUUUGCAGCUUAGCAGACCCUUCUCUAUUUAUUUUUCAUUCUGAUCAUGGUUCUCUUAUUCUCCUACUUUAUGUUGAUGAUAUACUUCUUACAAGAACUAUAGAUACACUUGUUGCAAACUUCAUUACUCUACUCAGUCAAGAAUUUGCCAUGAAGGACUUAGACCCUGCUCAUCAUUUUCUUGGCAUAGAAAUUUUGCCUACGCCAAAUGGACUUCACUUAUCACAAUCACAUUAUGCCCUUACAAUUCUAGAACGUGCUGAUAUGGUUGACUGUAAACCCAUGACUAGACCACUUGAAGCACGAGCUAAAACUUCCUCAAAUGCUCCUCUUUUAGUGGAUGCCAGUUUCUUCCGGGGGCUUGUUGGCUCCCUCCAGUACCUCACCCUUACUCGACCAGAUCUCUCUUUUAGUGUUAAUUAUGUCUCUCAAUUCAUGCAUGCUCCUACAACUGUUCACUUAAAAAUGGUCCGCCGUAUCUUAAGAUAUAUCAAAGGUACUAUUAAUAAUGGUCUGCACUUCACUUCUAAAACUAAUCUUAAUUUCUCUGCUUUUUCAGAUGCUGAUUGGGCUGGUUGUCUUACUACACGACGUUCUACCACUAGCUACUGUGUCUUUCUUGGAUGUAAUCUCAUCUCCUGGUGUGCUAAGAAACAACAUACUAUUUCACGCUCUAGCACUGAAGCUGAAUAUCGUGCUAUGGCGAACACAGCUGCAGAACUUACCUGGUUGACCUACAUUCUACAUGAUUUACACAUUCCCUUGCUAUCUCCACCAGUACUCUAUUGUGAUAAUCUCAGUGCACUCCAUAUGACAGUCAAUCCUAUUUUCCAUGCUCGUAGCAAGCAUAUUGAACUUGAUUAUCAUUUUGUACGCGAACACGUAGCUCUUGGGAAACUUAUUACACAUCAUAUUCCCACUACACAUCAGAUUGCUGAUCUGUUUACUAAGCCGGUGUCCAAAGCUACUCUUCUUCGUUUUCAACACAAACUUUACCUCCAACCUCGGCAACGUUUGAGGGAGGGUAUUAACAGCAACCAAACAACUCUGCAGCAACAGCAGCAGCACAAGAUCCUCACCUUUGCUAGCAACUGCAGUAGCAGCAGGAGACAACAGCAGCAACACCACAGGAUCCUCACUCUCGUCACCAACCAUUCUGAAAUAACAUCUCCAACGAUUACUAUUCAGAAUGGUAAUUAACCAUACAUGGAAAUCAUAGUUGUGGCUACCUCAACCAACGGCUACUUCUCAAAGAAGGAAAUUACAGCUAUGGCACACCUCUCAUAGAAGGAAACUACAACUACCUUAUAUCAUAAACAAAUCAAUAUAUAUAAAUAAGGAAUAUUGUAUUCAUAGAAAGAAAUAAGUAAUGAAAAGGCAAUAGCUAAUUACUACUCUAUAUAUAAAGAGUAUCCUGUACAAAGUUCAAGUAAUAGUGCUCACGUUUGUAUGCUCAAUAGUAUUGCAGUAAACACAUAUUCUUCAUCUACUGCGUCCCCUGUUCAGCUUUUUCUCUAGCGAUUGCCAAGGCAAAUAGGGUGCUUUGUUUCUCAAACGCUGUAUCAUCAUGAAAAAAGUACGUAGUCGCAGUGCCAAACUUGUAUAAGCAUCACAUUCGCAGAUUGAAACCAUUCAGUAAUCAACGAUUUGUAUGUCACAGAGGUUGCAAAGAAUACAAUGGAACCAUAAAACCCUCUCAAUUAACAAAGCAAAGCUAAAGUAAUUGAAAGCUCUAAGAGUUACCUCGCCUCUUUGAUUGUUGUCGGUUCCCUCGAAAUCCAUGGCAAUCGUGAAAGGGUCAAUAUCACUACACUUUGCAAUCCAAAUGCCCUUGGUUGUUUGACCUCUGAAACGUAUAUAACUACAUUAUAUUCCUCUUUCAUGUAUACAAAGCAACAAGAACAGUCAAAUAUACAAAUUCUCAACUAAAAAUAAAAUAAAAUCAAACCUUCCAUUGUAUGCGCCCAUCUCCUUGAAAUUGGUAUGGAAGGUCUGAUUCAUUAGGGUGCUUUUCCCUGCUCAAGAAUAAUUAAGCAAAAAGCUAUCACUACCAACUUCAUUAAAAUCAAUGACUAUUAAGAAAUGAUUAAUAAAUCAACACGAAGUUAAGAAGUUGAACACUUGCUUACCGCUACUCUGUGAGCCAAUGAUGGCAACAAUAGCAAGAGACCGGACUGAGCGAACUCGGUGGCUGUCAUGAAGUCUUUGAGUCCAUCCGCGUUGAACCUGCCAUUUCCAUCAAUCAGCUGCAUGCCUUGCUCCAUUUUCAUUAACGAUCUAACUCAACCACAAUAACAACAACUCUUGAAGUGUCUUCGAUCCUUCCUGUGUUGGUGUUUCUGGGCUGCGGACGAAUCUUAAAGCAAAAGUAAAGUGGCACGGACGAAGGAUCCUAUUAAAAUAAGUCUGCAUGAGUCUACUUCUACUCGAAGAAGUUGUUUGCUUUUUUGCUUUUGAGUUCCCUCUCCAGCAAGAUAAUAGUAAAUUAUAAAAUAUUAGUCUCGCUAGCUGUAACGUUUUGAAAUAAUGAAUGGAAAAUACAAUAAAAUCCUUGAAGGCUUAAAAGUUGGAAUAAAUGAAUAAGGAGUAUUGUAGUAAUUCAACAAACUUGAUAAAUAUAAAUAGAAAAAAAGAAAAGAAAAAAGAGAGAGAUCUGAAAAUUUUGAGAGAGAAUCGACAGGAGAGAAGGGAGGAAGAAGAAGAAGAGAAAAGAAGGGAAAAUAAGGGAAAAAGGAAGAGAUUGGGAGGAAAUAAGUUAAAAGGUAAGAUUUAGGUUAUUUAAUGUGUAUAAUAUGUUAUUUGAACCUUACAUUUCAGUUUUGCUUAAUGUUAGGGUUUUAAAGAUUGUGUUUUGAGUUUAUUGAUUAAUUAAUUUGAAGGUUAUAAGGUUAAUUGUUGUGGGUAUUUGAUUAUUUGGUUGAUUUUGAGAGAUUGAAUUGAAAGAUGAUGAUCUUGGGUUAUGGUUUUGUUUGAAUGGUGAAUUUAUGUUAGAAAUCAGGGGAGAACAGUAGGUUUCUGUUAAAAUUCUGAGUUUGAGGUUGAAGAUGACAAAAAUUCAUUUUGGUCCCUCAAUUUGCAAAAAUUACAGUUUAGUCCCCGAACUUUGGGAAAUUACAAAUUGGUUCCUGGAGCAUAUUCCAAGAUUCUGAACAGAAUAACAUAUGAAUUAUGGGCAGAAUUACUGUAUAAUUAUGAAAUUUUAAAACUUUCAAUUUGGUCCUUCAAUUUUAUGAAAAUUACAAUUUGACCCUAAAAUUUUGGUAAAAUUACAAAAUGGUCCCUGGAGCAUAAUGAGAUAUUCUGGACAGAAUUUAGGAUUAAUUAUGGUCAGAAUUUCAGUAUAUUCAUGGAUUUAUGACAAAUUUUAGUUUGGUCCUCCAUUUGACAAAAAAUACAAUUUGACCCUAAAAAAUUAGAAAAAUUCCAGAAUGGUCCUUGGAGUAUAAUUAGAGGUUCUGGACAGAAAUGAGGAUGAAUUAUGGACAUAAUUCCACUAUAUUCAUGAAUUUAUGAUAUUUUUAGUUUGGUCCUCCAAUUAAACGAAAAUUACAAUUUGGCCCUAAAAAUAUGGAAAAAUAUUCCAGAUUAGUCCCUAGCUGUAAUAUUAGCUUUUGCAGAUUAGUUUGAUGAAUAAUUAAGGGUUAUUUAGUGAAUUAUUACCAAUUUUAUUAGUUGUUUUUAUUAUGGAUUAGAUUUCGGGAAAACCGUUAGAUUUUGAGUUUUUAAGAAAAGUAACUAGUUAGUUUAAAAACAUAUAGGGUUAUGGAAUACACCCUUAGUUAAGUGUAUUAAAUAGGUUAAAUGUUCUUUCGAGUCGUUUUUGAAUAUGUCUUCUUUGUAUUCAGAUAAUCCUGAUAUUCUACUGGCGGGACGUUAGUAGAAUUUCCUUCGGUAUCUGCUUUUGACUUCUGUUUGCUUUUGAGUCAGGUGAGUGGAUAAUUUUCCAUAUGCAUGAGAAAUAUUAUAAAUAUUUGGUAUGUGGACUUCUUAUUCUGACUGAAGUAGAAGAUGUUUGUGCAGGCUGUGCAUCAGGCAAACAUCACAGGGAGAAAUUCGACAAAGAGCAAGCGUGGAGAGCAAGCUAUCCACUGGAAUUAAUCCACACUGAUCUGUGUGGACCAUUGCAGAAUGAAUCUGUGGGAGGGAACAAAUACUUCAUCACAUUCAUUGAUGAUGACUCAAAAAUGUGUUGGGUAUACUUCCUCAGAAACAAAUCUAAUGCAUUAAAUGUGUUCAAGAAUUUUAGGGCAUUUGUUGAGCUGCAAAGUGGAUAUAAAUUAAAGAAGCUGAGAAGUGACAAAGGUGGAGAAUAUACUUCAAAAGAGUUUGAAGAAUUCUGUGAGAAACAAGGAAUGGAGAGGCAACUGACUAUUGCAUACUCUCCUCAACAGAAUGGAGUUGCAGAGAGGAGAAACAGAACAAUUUGUGAAAUGGCAAGAUCCAUGCUGAUAGAGAAAGAAAUGCUAGUAAUCUUCUAGGCAGAAGCUGUGAAUACAGCUGUGUAUAUUCAGAACUGAUGUUAUACAGCAUUUGUUACUGAAAAGACUCCUUUUAAAGCCUUCACGGGAAGGAAGCCAGGAGUCAAGCAUCUAAAGGUGUUCGGUUGCUUGUGUUACACACAUAUCCCAUCAUCACUAAGGCAGAAAUGGGAUAGCAAAGCUGGAAAGGGAGUGUUUGUUGGAUAUGACAGCUGUGAGAAAGGGUAUAGAAUAUAUGACCUGAAAACUGAGAAGAUUGUUUUCUCAAGAAGUGUGAUUUUCAGUGAAGAUAGAGCAUGGAAUUGGAAAAGAAAUCUGAUGAACCAAAGCCACUUGUCCUUCAAUCAUAAAGAAGGUGAAGUUGAAGGUGAAAAUUCUGAGGAACACUUGCUUCAACCCGAUAAUGUUGAACAUUGCAAUCAAAAUCUACAGUUGGAGAGUUAGCUGAGAAGAUUGACAGUGAUAACAGUCAACAAUCUUCACCUAGCUCUACUCUAAUAAAAUUGAAAACCUUGGAAGACAUAUAUGCAAGGUGUCACAUGUGCAUCAUAGAACUUGAGAACUAUCAAGAAGCUUUUGGAGAUAAAGCCUGGCAGGAGGCUAUGAAGGAAGAAUUGGAAGUGAUAGAGAAGAACAAUGCUUGGGAAUUGGUGGAGAGACCAAGUGAUAAACCUGUGAUAGGAGUGAAAUGGGUGUACAAAACCAAGCUUCAUCUUGAUGGAACAGUUCAAAACACAAGGCUCGCCUUGUAGCAAAGGAUAUGCACAGAAAUCGAAUUGAUUACAAUGAAACUUUGCACCAGUAGCAAGGUUAGAUACAAUUCGGACUCUUAUUGCACUUGUAGCAUAGAAGGGGUGGAAAUUGUUUCAAUUGGAUGUUAAAUCAACAUUCCUAAAUGGUGUUCUUAAAGAAGAAGUAUAUGUUGAGCAACCUGAAGGGUUUGAAGUAAACAAUGCAGGACACAAAGUUUACAAACUAAAGAAGGCCUUGUAUGGAUUAAAGCAGGCACCGAGAGCCUGGUAGAGUGAAAUUGAUGCAUACCUUUCUAUGUGCAAAUUUAAAAGGAGCACAAGUGAAGCUACUUUGUACACAAGAUCAGACAUGGAAGUUAAUUUGAUCAUUGUCUCAAUCUAUGUUGAUGACAUUGUGUACACUGGCAACAAUGAGAGGCUACUCAGUGAAUUUAAAAGGGAAAUGAUGCAGAGGUAUGAGAUAUUUGAUAUUGGACUCCUUCAUCAUUUUCUUGGCAUGGUAAUACUGCAAACCAAUCGAGGGGUGUUUAUUCAUCAAGGGAAAUAUUCCAAAUCUCUGCUUAGUAAGUUUGGACUUGAUGAUUGCAAACCAGUCUCCAUUCCCUUGGCCACUGGUGAGAAACUGAAGAAAAUGGAUGGGAGUGAGUUGGCUGAUGAAGGACUUUAUAGAAAAAUAGUAGGAAUUUUACUAUAUUUGACAGCUACAAGACCUGAUCUAAUGUAUGCUGCAACUUUAUUAUCACGGUUCAUGACUGGACCUACCAAGUUUUACAUGGGAGCUACAAAAAGAGUUCUAAGAUAUGUGCAAGGAACUCUCAGUUAUGGGAUUGAUUAUGUAAGGGAUCAAUCAGAACCUCUCAUUGGAUUUUGUGAUGCAGAUUGGGCAGGAAGUGAAGAUGAUAGCAGGAGCACUUCAGGCUAUGCAUUCAGUUUUGGAAGUGGAGCAUUCUCCUGGUCUUCUAUGAAACAGAACACAGUAGCAUUAUCAACUGCAGAAGCUGAGUAUGUCUUAGCAUCUGAAGCAACUGCUCAUGCCAUUUGGUUACGGUUUGUUCUUGAUGAUUUUGGGGAAAUGCAAGCUGAGGCAACACCUUUGUUCUGUGAUAACAUGUCAGCAAUUUCAAUGGCCAAAAAUCCAGUUUUUCAUCAAAGAACAAGACACAUAAAUAGGAAGUAUCAUUUUAAAAGGGAGGCUCUGCAAGAAGGAGUAAUUAAUGUGAAGUUCUGCAGAAGUGAAGAACAACUUGCAGACAUCUUCACAAAAGCACUACCCAAAGACAGAUUCAAGAAACUAAGACUAACACUACCAGAAAAUCAAUAAAUACAAACGGAAAUACCGAGGGAAUAUUUUCGUCGGUAAAUUUCCGAGGGAUUUUACCGACGGAAAUAUUCCCUCGGUAUAUACCGAGGGAAUUACCGUGGGAAAAAAAAUUAAAACAAAGCAAAAAAAAUAUGACGACGUGUCAUUUUUUACCAACGGAAUUACAUAUAAGAAACUUUAAUUGAUGCAAUAUAUAUCUGUAUAUAAUAUAAGAAACUUUGCAGCUAUGAGCAAUGGGGGCCUUAUCAUAGAACAGUCGUGGUCUUGGGACACCACGAGCAGCAAGAAGAUAGAUCAUGCUUUUAAAGCUUGAACAUCCCAACCUAAUUUUCCUUCUAGAAACUAGGAUAAAAUUACAUGAAUCGUCAAUAAUCGAUGGUUGUUUGGGAUUUUAGAACGUGAAAGAGCUUGCCCUGACUGGUAUGAAUUUUAAUAUAAGGAAAUUACCUUAUAAAAUCUUGUUUUCGUUUUGGAUUUCAUUUUCUCAAUGCCACAAAGAAGAAUUUCCCUGACUGCUGAAGCAUCCGAUUCCUUACUUAUGGAGACGUCUAAUAUAAAGAAAGCCAUUAAUAUAUAGGAAACUGAAUAAAAUGACAUGCAUGUUAGAAAUUAGUUUUAAAUUUAGUGGUUCUUUUUGUAAUUUAAUUCAGUUUUAAUCCAACCAUUUCCAGCAUUUUAUAUCGAUACUAACCCAUGUAUACAUGCGAGCAUCAUUUGUGAGUCUUUCGUCCAGGUUUGAAACUCCUUAGCAAUCAUACUUUCAAAGUGAAGGAUUAUAAACUAUGAAGUUUAUGAUUUCAAAGGUUGAGUUAAUGUAUUACGUUAGCAAUUUAAGGAGAGUACUCUUUAUUAUCAAACGAAAUAAUUAAUAAACAGAUAAUUAUUGCAUGUUGUCCAUAGUUAACAUUGCAUUACCUUUACAUCCCUUUUCAAAUUGGUGCAUGGCGUCCUAAACAAUAUGAUCAAUGGAAGCCUCAAACCCAUCUCUAGAUGCCUCCUUCACCCUCUUUACAAACCUGUUCUUAAAACUUUUUAGUGCACUAUAAUGCAGAUGUCGCAGCAUGUCAACAUAAGCUAGGUGUAGAACCUACAUAGCAGACCAAAAACUUGAAAAAUCAGUAUUACAAGCCCAUAAGAAACAGUAGAGGUUCCAAAUCAAGUUGAACAAGAAGUUGUUGUAGCAAAUUUGUCAACCUUUUUUCAACUACAAUGACUUUUUCAUGGUAGUAGUUGGCUGCACAUGGGUUGAGUUGGCUGCACAUGGGUUACUGCCAAUGCUUCUCCAUUCACCUAUAAAGAGAGUGCAAGAGAGUGCUGUGAAGAGUAGAGAAGUGCAAGUGCAGAGCAAUGUGUGUGAGAGUGAAAAAUACAGAUUUGAGAGAAACACCGAGUGUAAGAGUGAAACACUAGGUUUUGUGGGAUUGUAUUGGGGUUAAGUUGAGUGUUUGUAUCAUUCCUCCAAUAAUAUAUAAUCUGGUGCCUCCGUGGACAUACCCGGUUUUGGGGAACCACAUAAAUCUGCUUGUUUGUGUUUUAUUUGUGUUUGCUUUCGGUCCAGUAUGCACAACAAUUGGUAUCAGAGCAUUAGGGAAGCUUAAACACAGAAAAACACGUUUUUUCAGCUCUUUGUUCAAAGUUGCAUAAUUUUCAAAGUUAUCAGAUCUUGAUUUUGACCACCUAUGGAGAUUCCUCUCGUCUAUACGAGUCCGGCGAUACAAAGAUCAUCGAAAUCGGAGUUGAAACGAGCCCUGUAAAGCUCGCCGAAGUUUCGCCGGAAAUCUGCUGGAAAAACCAGACAGUGCCGGAAUUCUUGCCUGAGAAGACAGCCACGUCAUCUGACACGCUGGCGCUGAGCCAUCAUCCACGUCAUCAAUAGAGGCCCACACAGCCACGUCAGCUGCCAUGUCAUCUAACAGUGGCAGAAUAUUCCAUUAACAGAGACAGAAUAUUCCUUUGGUAGUAACAGAAUAUUAUCUUGACAGAAUAAGAAUAUUCCGUUAACAGAGACAGAAUAUUCCCUUAGCUGUGAUAGAAUAUUCUUUAUCAGAGACAUGAUAUUCCUUUCCUAAGUCAACUCGGUCACAUUGGUUUUUUGGCCAACUCAGUGAUUUUUUAACCCUUUAUUGGCCGAGUCAAGCUUGUUCCUAGCAUUUUCAACCGUUCCGGACGCAACCGUGGUGUCCGUUUUGUGAAACAGCACACCGAAGUUACUAUUUUGGCUCUUUUGAGCAUAAAAGUGUGUGUUUUAACAAUUUCGGGAGUCCAUUUGUAAUCCAAAGGCGUCCUAAUGGCUGAUAUUCCAGAAGAAAAAACAGCGGGGAAUGCUAGUAUACCUCCACAAUACAUCCCGGUAUCGAGUACCAAAUUUGAGGUGGAGAAGUUUGAUUGGAAAGGUAAUUUUGGCAUGUGGAAAUGUGAAGUUAUGGAUAUGCUUGUCCAAAUGAAUUUGGAUUUCACUCUAGAAGAUAAACCGGAGGAUUUGGAUGAGAAAAGCUGGGAGAGGAUAAAUCGGUUAGCUUGCAGUUCCAUCCAAUUUUGUCUUGUAAAGGAUCAGAAGUACGCAUUUUCAGAACAAAACUCUGCAAAGGAAUUAUAGCAAGCACUGGAGGACAAGUUUAUGAAAAAGAGUAUAGAGAAUCGUCUCUACUUAAAGAAAAGAAUCUUUCGUUUUCAGCACAAGAAAGGUACUUCCAUGAAUGAGCAUCUGAAUGAUUUCAAUAAAAUGAUAGCUGAUUUGAAAAAUUUAGAUGUGGAAAUUGAUGAUGAAGAUAAAGCUCUACUGUUAUUAAAUUCACUACCUGAUACAUAUGAACAUCUCGUCACCACUUUAUUGUAUGGUAAAGAAAAGAUUAAAUUCAUUGAUGUGUCCAAUGCUUUGGUGAACAAUGAGUACCGGAAGAAAGACCAGAUUGUUCACAAGGAGUCAACGUUAGAAGCAUUAACAGUUAGAGGCAGAACAAACCCCAGAAGAUUUCGAGGGAGAGGGAGAUCUCGCUCAAAAUCCAGAGGAGAAUCAUCAAACAAACGAUAUUUUGCAAAAGAUGAGUGUGCUUUUUGUCACAAAAAAGGGCACUGGAAGAAAGAUUGUCCAAGCAGGGGCAACAAGGAAAAAGAUGAACCAACUGUGAAUGUUGCACGCGAUGAAGAUGAACGAGACUCUGCAUUCAUGGUCUCAUUACCAGAAAAGCAUUCUGGUGAAUGGGUUCUUGAUUCUGCAUGUUCCUAUCACAUGUGCCCUAACAAGCACUUAUUCUCAAGACUUGAGGAGUUCGAUGGAGGAGUUGUGUUGAUGGGCAAUGAUGAUGUUUCUGAGAUAAAAGUGAUUGGGACUAUCCAUCUGAAGAUGCAUAAUGGGGUAGUUAAGACACUAACAGAGGUACGGUAUGUACCUGACUUGAAGAAAAAUCUCUUCUCACUUGGAGUCCUAGAAUCCAGUGGUUAUAAGAUUAUCAUGCAUGGUGGAGUCCUGAGAGCAAUCCGUGGUGCAUUAGUUGUCUUAAGAGGCACGAGGAAAGGAAACUUAUAUUUCAUAGAUGGAUCUACAGUCACUGGUACAACAGUUGUUUCCAAAAGCAUAGAAGAUGAUGAAGCAGAUAAUUCCAGACUUUGGCACAUGCGUUUAGGGCAUACUGGUGAAAAGGCUUUGCAAGGACUGGUCAAGCAAGGUCUAUUAAAAGGCGUCAAGACUGGGAAGCAUGGGUUCUGUGAGCAUUGUGUUUUUGGGAAACAGACAAGGGUCAAGUUUGGCACUACGGUACACAACACAAAAGGGAUUCUUGAUUAUGUUCACACAAAAGGAUCCUAUUAAAGUAAGUCUUCAUGAGGCUACUUCGAAGAAGUUGUUUGUUUUUUCUCUUUUGAGUUUUGACCCCACCAAUAACUGAGAAUAAGAAUAUGGAUGGAAGGUUAGAGAAUAAGAAUAUAAUUUAUAGUUCGCUAUUAGUGUCAAAAGAAUCAAUAACAUAGCAUAUCCAAGUUUAAUGUCUUAACUCGGCAUUCUUCUCUCAUUAAUUUUCAGGGUAAACUAUAAAUUAUUCUCUCUAGUUUUGCAAAAUGAGUUAAAUAAUACCUCUAGUUCCUGAAACUAUUAAUUAGUCUUUAUAUUUUAAAAUCAGCCUAUAACUUGAUUUGUUUCAUCCAUUUCAUGUUUUUUCCAAUUAAUUUCAUUUUAUUUUAAUUUUAAGUAUCAAUUUCAAAAGAAAAAAAAAAGAUAAUAUGAAGAGACUAUUGAAAGGAAAACAUUUUUGGGAACAAAAAUUAUUAAACAUAAUAUCAAAAGUUCUUACAAUUUUUAAAUUUCCAAUUUGAUAAUAAUAAUAAUUUAUAAUUUUACCUUUCAAGUCAAAUUAAUGGUUUUUUCUCGAUAGUAAUAAUAUUGUUUUCCAAUUUAUUAAUAAUUUUAUCAAUAGUAAUGAAUAUAAUAAUAUUAAUAAUAAUAUUAAACAUAUUUUACUCAAGUUCAUGUUAGUUUGACAAGUAUGUCAGACCAAUCGUGUGUCAUUGUCAGACCCAAAUAAUUUGGGCUUGUUGGUGCCAGACCCUAAUUCCUUGAGUAUGGCAUCCCCUACUAGACUCUAGUUCCUGGGGUUUAGCCCUGCUACACCCAAGUUCAUUAGGUCUAAUGCCCCUACCAGACCUUAAUUCCUGAGGUUUGGCCGAGCCACACCCAAGUUUUUGAGUUGGACGCCCUUGCCAGAUCCAAGUUAGUUAGGUCUAGUGCCCCUGAAAAACUCGUGAUGCUUGGGUCUGACAUCCUUUCCAGACCUAAGACACUGGAGUUUGGUAGUCAUGUCUAACCCGACGCUUGAGGUCUGGUCGCUUUUCCAAAUCGAAGCACCUUGGUCUGGAAGAUAUGCCUAACCCUAAUGCUUAGGGUCUGGCAGCAAUACCAUGCCCCGACACUUGCUUUUAACCUAGACACUUGGGUGUGGCAUCCAUAUGAAGACAACGAAAACAUCUUUACAUGCAGACUUGUUUUUGUUGAGUAUCAAGGGUAAUUUUGUAUUUGAACUGUUUUAAUAAAAUGAAAAGACAAUGAAGCCCCUCAACAAAGACAUAUAUUUUCCCUCCCUCUAGGGUGUAUUUAUGUAUUUUCACUGUUUAUUUUUUUUUAAAAAAAAGGAAAAAUGAAGCCCGCAACCCAAAAAUUAAAAUUUUAUACCUUGAAAGGCUAAUUAGUAUUUAUACCAUCGCCCAAAGAACCCGGAAGGGCCAUUCUAUCACCAAUCAAUCUUUCAAUGUCAAAUGUAUCCCAUGAAAAAGACAAUCUCACCCCUAACUACAUCCUUAGCAAGUUUCUUUGAUAAGAACAAAUAUAAUUGUUUUAAUCAUUACACUGUUUCAAUCCACAGUAAUUUAUGUCUCGAUAAAUAGUAAAAGGAUGAACAGUAAAAUAUUGAUCUUGUUUAGUAUAUGUAUAAUAAUAAUAAUAAUAAUAAUAAUAUAUUUCUCCAUAUAUAGCCAUUACAAACUGGCAUACCUAAGGUUAAGAAAACCACAGUUAACCAAUCAAAUGCAAUUGAACUUGACUAUCUAAAGUUUGGAAAUUGGCUCGCUUGAGUUAAUGCAAAUUGCUUUCAAAUGUGUACCUCGAAAACUGUUUUUAAAAGGGGUCUGCCGGCAAAAGUUAAGGUGCAGAGAGAAAGAAUUUCGAAGAAGUUGUUUGCUUUUUUGCUUUUGAGUUCCCUCCUAAUAGUAAACUAUAAAUUAGUCUCUCUAGUUUUGACUAAUGAGUUAAAUAAUCCCUCUAGUUUCAAAAACAAACUAAUUAGUUCUUAUGUUUUUAAAUUCACACCCUCAUCUAUUUCAUGUUCUUUUUCAAUUUAUUUCAUUUUUUAUUUUAAGUAUCUAUUUCAAGAGAUCUAAGAGAGAAAAAAAGUAGUACGUAGUAGAUAAAAAACAAUUAACAACAACGAAUUAAAUCAACUAUGUUGCUAAAAUAGUUACUUUACAAGUUAGUUACCCGUGAGUAACUUUUUCACAAUGCUAUUAAACUUGAUUUGUCAUGUGAUUCAAGAUGGUGUCCGGUCAACUUAUCUUUCGAUUUUAGUUAUAUUUCAAAUUAAAUUGUAUUUGUUGACUAGAUGCAACAAAAUUGAUUUAAUAUAAAAGUAUUGUGCUUUUUAAUGAAAAACUUAUUAUGAUUGUGAAGAAUUAAAAAAUUUAUAAUUUAUAAUUUUUGUGCACCAAUAUGACAAAAACAUUAGAGCAGCAAUUAAUAAAUUUGAGAAAAUUGUAUAAAUUGAUAAUAAAAACUACGAAAAUAGAUAUUUUAUUUUCAUCCAAUGCAAAUUAUUUUAAAACUUAUACAUAUGAAGCAAACAUCUAAUUAUUCAUAAAGCAAUUGAAGAUAUCAUCAUAAAAAAGCCAUAAUGUUCUUAAAAACAAUGGCAUGAUUUUUUUUUAUUAGCAUGUUUUUUGAAUAAAAGGUACCGAUAAAUAAAAGAAGAUUUUUAAAAAAAUUCAAUCAAUUGAAAUAACUACGGAAAUUGUAUAUCUUCAAUCUAAUCUCAUUUACCUAAUUAUUAAUGUAUCUCUUUAUUGUUUUAAUAAAACCAUGUUUUUUAAAUUAAAAACAUUGCUUUUUUUUAUAUAUUAAAAAGCCUACUAUGAUCUCAAAUGCAAGUUUUUAUAAAAAAGAAAAAUUGUUAAAAUAAUUUCAUAAUAUUUUGUACACUAUUAGAAAAUUGAAAAACACCAACAUAAUAUUUUAUUAAUGUUUAGAAAAAAACAUUAUGUCAAUAUUCAGAAUUGUCGAUGAAAACAUAUCAUCGACAAGUUUCUCAUCAAGGAUUUAUCUUCUGUCAGCAUUUUCAUCGAAAACUUUCAAUUUUGACUUAAAUAAGAUUUUACUACUUAUUUUUUCAAUGGCAACUCUAUUAGCACCUUAAAUGCCGACAAGACUAGUGGCGGAGGCAGGGGCCUCGGCCCUUGCAAGGAAAUUUUUCGCAGCUCCUUUCUUGUAUAAAAUAAUUGAAAUUUUAUUUUUAAAAAAAAAAAAUUCUUUUAAUUUGGCCCCUUUUAAUUAUUUUUUCUUACUUUACCACUGGACGAGACUAUCCAUCACCGAUUCUAUCAUAAAUGACUAAUUUUUUUGUAAUUUUUUAAUGAAAUGGGUACAAACAUUGCCAACAAAAUUCUAUUUCACUAAUUUUUAUUUUUAUUAUUUAGGUUUUAUAUUCCCGAAUGCAUUUUUCACUUUAAAAUCUCAACAAAAACCAAAAUCACAAUCACAACAAAAACGCAUCUCUAUAACAAAAACUUUAUAUUACAAAUUUCACCAUUCAUCUAAGGAUUCCAUACAUAAAUUCUUUUUAAACAAGAAAUAUAAAUUCCUAAAAAAGUGAAGGUGGAGGUGGAGGUGGAGGUGGAGGAAAAAAAUCUUGAACCAGAAGAUCUAGAAGCAGGAGGCCAAAUGUAAAGCCAUAUAUGCUCAUGAUUGCUCUCAAUACAUCCUAUUUUCUUAUACAAAUCAUGCUUUUAUUGUUUCUUUCAUGUUGGGCAACACAAUAGACAAUUGUUCCUCAACCAUUCUUUAGACAAGCUCAUCAAUAUCUAGUGAUGUUUUACCGAAAUGUGGCGUGCUUAUAGUUGAAGCAGUAUAGCCCACUUUUAUUUUUGAAGCCGAUGUUGCGGGCAUGCUAUAAACCAGAUUUUUAUCAAGUCCAAGUAAUUAAAGGCAAAAAACUAAAUUAAUAUGAUAAAAUAAUGUCAAAAAUAUAUUAAAAGUAACAUAAACAUAAAAUUUAUUGUCACCGAAUAUUCAAGCACAAAUUCUUUUAAUUUUUUUUUCAUAUUAGGUAUGAAAAAAUUAAAAAAAAAUGUUAACACUUCCAUAAAAACUAAUAACAUUAUUUAAGAACUAUAACAAAAUUGAACAUGCUAAGAAUUUAUUUGUACUGCAUCCCAAUUAAAAAUCUUAUAAAGAAAGAGAAAAAAACCUUAGAAAAAAGGCAUGUUUCAGACAAGCUUGUCCGAAGUAAGAUGAGGCCUAGCGUGGGGCCCUACAAGGUAAGCCUGUGCCUUUUCUUGAUUUUUUUCAAUGUUUAAAGGCAGAAAACAUGUUGUCAAUGGUUCGCUUUUCGCCGAUCAAGAGGUGGAUGGAAAGUUGAGGCAGGAGAAUACCCAUUUUUAAAUAUAUUUUUAUUUAAAGUACCUAAUAAACACAUUAAUAAUCCUAAUAAAUCAAUUUUUAUCUUAAAAAACCCUUAUAUUAGUAAAAAAACACGAAAUCAAAUUAAAAAAAUAAAUUCUUCUCUAAUUGAUAUGCUGUUGCCGGUGAGAUGAAAAUUCAAAAACACCAUAAUAACUUAAUAAGUACCCCCUCUAGCCAUGAGGAAUACAUUGAUAUCAAGGUCAGCCUGUUUGGUAGCUAGAAUUUUGCCCGAUUAAUCACUUUCAAUCUACUCCUUAAUUUUUCAACGACUUUCUCUCACCUUUUAAAAUCCAAGGAUUGAAACAUAAAACAAAUAAAGUUUAGAACUAAAAUAUAAAACCCAUAAAAAAACGAAAAAAGAAAAAAAGUAAAAUUAUAGGGACCAAAGUGUAAUUUUGCGUGCCCAAGUAAGCAUUUAUCAUCAUCUUCGUCACCAGCGCCAAUAUUAUCGCUGCCACCAUUUGCGGUCCUAAAAAACUUAACGCCUUUGGCACUUCAUCUGCCAAUCCUUUUAUCAAAACUGCCAACGCUUGCAAUACUACGUUCAUGAUCACUACUGCCACCUCCGGCUUUGCAGCUAUCCCAUAUGCCAUCAUCGCUAACAGCACUAACCUGAACAUCUGUUGAAUCACCUUUUCAGCUUGCUUACGAGCUUCCUGAGGAAAAUACGAAGCAUGACAUGUUAGGGUGCUAGUUAGAUUCAAGAUAAGAAACUUCAGUUGGAAAAUAAAACAUGUUAUGCAAUUCUGAAACAGUGCUGGUGCAUUCCAUAUAGAUAUAUAUUAGUUUCUGUUCAAAGUUCAGAAAGUAGAGGAACUUAUUAGCAAAAACUGAAAAUACAAAGCAAUUCAUGAUAAGGUACCUGAGCGGAUGUAGCCUGGUUCACUAUAUAUGUUAUGUCUGCUGUGAACUGUAUCCAUAGUGACUUGCACUGCACUGGUGUAAGCAGCGUAGCCUUUGGGGAAACCUGCCUCAUAUUCGAUUCCUAUCAGAAAUCACUUUGAUGGAUACAUGCGUGUGUUUUGCAUGGAUGAAUGUAUAUAUAGUGAUGUGCGUACACCAACUAUUACCUCUUCCCAUGUGUUAGAGGCCAGGGGAUCAACAGCUGGAACAGCACCCAUGAGAGACGAAGACAGUACAUUCUCAAUCUGAUCCGCUGUGUUAUCUAGGCGUAUGGCCGCCAUGACUGCUACAAUUUUCAAAGACUGCAAUAAAAUAGCCAUGAGAGACGAAGAGAGUUUUGUCUCUUAUAUUGCUUCUCCAAGAUGUGUUUUGUUUCUAUUCUACAUCAAUUUUCUUAUUUGUUUUUUUGCUCUCGUCCUCCAUCAAAAGUGCAAACAAUUAAACGUGCUAGCAACCAAUUAUUACAAAAUGUAGGCAUAUUACCGCAGAGAGGGCUCUCCUUUCAAUUUCUUCAAUGUUUUGUUCCGGAGUCCAAACCCUAGGCGUUGAGUUUUCAUCAUGAUUGAAAACCUUUGCGAACCUGGGACACGAUCCAAAGCUUUAAUGAGCAGAAAAGCAAUUGAAAGAAGGAAACGGAGAAGCAAUUAAGAGAGCACUCCACCUAUCCUUCAUGCGCAUCAAAACUCUUCCUGUAGCUGCAGAUUCUCUUGCCUUUCUCUCCACCACACUUCUUGCAUUCUCCUUCAAAUAUCCCAAUCUUUUGUCAAUUUCGGAUAUGGGCACCUCGAAAUCAACAUGAGCAUUUGAAAGUUCUGAUUCAGCAACGUCAGUCUUGCUCGCAAGAAGAUUUCUUACUGACACCCAUGUAUCUGCCUCACCAGCUUCAAAUAAGGAUUGUACUUCAUCAGCAAGCACAUCAGUGAAUUGUUUCUGCAUUGGAAUAACAUUAUAAGAUUGGGUUGUUUUAUUGAGCAGAGUGAUAUGCUUAGAUUAAGGAGCAGUAACGGAUUGCAUUAUCAACCGAGGAGAUUACCACAUGUUUUGCCAUCAUUUCUGACAGCAUAUGGCGACUAAGUUUUCCCCUGACUCCCGAACCAUUCCACCCACUCAGUCUUAUGAAAGCAUCUGAGACAGGAUGAUGAAGUAUUCACCAAAUUCAGGAAGCAAAAUUAGUAGAUCACACAGAACACCAAGCAUAUGUAAGCGAUUUUAACACCAUAGCGGGAUGGAUUCUAAUAGCAGCAACAGCUUCAGUAAGUUGCAGUGAUGCCCUUUACUUUGCCCAUUAAAUUGCUUUUUUCUGCCGUUUAUCUUAGCCAAAAAAUUUAUUAGAUGAAGUAUCACUUAGUUAGUUUCUGUGAGAACUAAAAUAACUUGAAAAGAUUGAGAGUUCGGAUAGAGAGGACCAGUUGCAAAGACCCUAACCAAAAGCAAACAAACAGAAAUGGCAGACAAUUCAGAUUAGUUCCACAGAAAAAAGUAAGGCUUUAAAACAUAACCUAUGCACACAUUCAUUGAGUCAAAACCUGCAUUUAUGCUACAACUGCCAUCAAAUGUGGCCUACGCCAUUCAGGUCCAACCAGUUUGAUGUGCGGAAUCCGGGACCGGUGAUGUACUGAUCAUUGCUCAUCGGAGGGGUAAGCACACUGAGACACAAUAUUUAACGUGGUUCGGCAAAUUGCCUACAUCCACGGGAGAGGUUCAUUUUAUUUAGAGAUAGAGAAAGAAUACAAUACAUGGAGGAGGAUCACAUCCACUCAACUCCCAUCUCUCAUUGCUACAUAGGGCAGCAGCUGCUUAAGGCAGCAGGGCUGCUGAUGGCAGCCCUUCUCUUUCUUUCUCUCUUCUUCUCUCUACAUGUCUCACAACUCUCACACUUUGCUCUCUAAGAUCAUGCCUCUUUUAUAGGCAUCAAUGGCAGCUCCUCUUGCUCCUUUGUCAUCAAUGGUGGCUGCCAAACUCAUCUCUUCUUCAACAAAGGUGGCUGCCAACUUCUUCUCUUCUUCAACAAUGGUGGCUACCAAAGUCAAGGUUGGUGGUUGCCACCAACAAGCCUCCUUCUUUGACAAUGUCAACAUAAUUGGCAAUAUUCCAACAAUCACCCCCUUUGCCAUUUAUGUGGGCAAUUGUCAUCUUGCUUCUUCAGCACACGCUUUCUGGAGCGUUCUGAAAUGGGCUCCUUUCAUGGCUCUCACACCUUCUCUAAGGUGUCUCCGUUUGUCGUUAUGCGACGGUCUAAACUAGGGCUCCUAUCAUGGCUCAUAGUUUGGCACAUAUAAUUGGGUAAACAUGUGCACCUUCUUCUUCUUCAUCUCCAUCGACCACCAUGAUGACCUUUAGAUGCCUCCUGAUCGGGCAAUCUCUCUUUAAUAAUUCACCAUUGUCAUUUUCGGUCUCAAAUCUCAAAGAUCGGACCAUACCAUUGCAUCCGGAAUGAUCAAAUUAGCUGGAAACAUGUCUUGAAUCGUCCAAAUCGCACUUCAGACGGCUAAGAUUUGAUCAAAACAAUUCUGGCCUGAUAAACGACUCAGAUUCAAUCUCAGAUCCGGUUGCACGUAGGAUCCGCUACAUUGGAUCCUAUCCCUCGGCUCGCGACUCGGCUCGGCUCCAACUCAGCUCGGCUCCACUCGGCUCAGCUUGGCUCGGCUCGCGGCUGAUGACAUGGCAGGUGGGUCCUGCUAUGCUGACAUGUUAGUUGACUAGUCAAUUGACUUGCUGACUGUGUAUGUGAUGUCAUCCUUGCAUCAUGAUGACGUCAUCCUUUGCAUGGCACUGUUCAUGAUACGUCACUGUUCAUGUCUACUGUUCACAUGGGUCGGGUCAACUCAUCCGGGUGAAGAAGACGCGUGGGGCGCGUUGGCGCGCGUGGGUAGACGCCUUGCCGGAGAGUGAUGGAGAGUGCGGCCAUGUCCGACGUCCGAUUUUGACGCCGUUUUCACCAGUGGCUUCGUAUCGUCCUCCUCUACACGGUGGGAUGGUCAAAACACAAUUUUGACAACUUUCAUUUUUGAGCAAAGAUCAAACACCACUUUAAACCAAAAAGCUCUGAUACCAUUUGAUUGGGCGGAAUCCGGGACCGGUGAUGUACUGAUCUUUGCUCAUCGGAGGGGUAAGCACACUGAGACACAAUAUUUAACGUGGUUCGGCAAAUUGCCUACAUCCACGGGAGAGGUUCAUUUUAUUUAGAGAUAGAGAAAGAAUACAACACAUGGAGGAGGAUCACAUCCACUCAACUCCCAUCUCUCAUUGCUACAUAGGGCAGCAGCUGCUAAGGCAGCAGGGCUGCUGAUGGCAGCCCUUCUCUUUCUUUCUCUCUUCUUCUCUCUACAUGUCUCACAACUCUCACACUUUGCUCUCUAAGAUCAUGCCUCUUUUAUAGGCAUCAAUGGCAGCUCCUCUUGCUCCUUUGUCAUCAAUGGUGGCUGCCAAACUCAUCUCUUCUUCAACAAAGGUGGCUGCCAACUUCUUCUCUUCUUCAACAAUGGUGGCUACCAAAGUCAAGGUUGGUGGUUGCCACCAACAAGCCUCCUUCUUUGACAAUGUCAACAUAAUUGGCAAUAUUCCAACACAGUUAUCAUCUGGGGCGAUGCUUUUCAUAUCCAAGCCAAAGCAGAAAUUUGUAAAAAUGAAUAAUUAUAGAAAAGUAAAGGAGUUUUAAAGCUUG